This 54457-nucleotide long non-coding RNA is filed under the name Olea europaea (common olive). RNAcentral's name for it is "long non-coding RNA (OEUR_LNC008584)". Lineage: Eukaryota; Viridiplantae; Streptophyta; Magnoliopsida; Lamiales; Oleaceae. The record is from RNAcentral.
AGACUUUCAUUAUUACUGGUUCUGAGAUUCAUUUCGCCUCUGGCGAUUCUUCUUCUUUCUCUCUAAAAUCUGAGUGCCUCUUGACUUUCUCUUGAAUGAAAACUUUGAAUCUUCAACUUGAGAUCAUGUAUUACAAGUCUUGAGUGAUCUGUAGUUCAAUGAUUUCCUUUAAAGUUCUUGUGUGACCGAGUGCCUGUUGAGUUCGAGAGGGUUUCUUGUAAUCUUGAGUGAUAUUUGAGUUGUUGAGGUCAUUCUGUAAUUUGGACGGCAUUUCUGGUUCCAAUUAAUGCAGUGAUUUCUUCCGGUGGUGGAAACACAAAAAGGGGAUUAGGAGCUAGCUCUGAAUCUCUUACCUUAGGGCGAAAAAUUCUGUGUUCUUUCGUUUUUGUGUUUCUUGCACAUUUAUAUUUUGCAUUUUGUUGUAAAAAUCACUUAAUACUUUGAACCUGCUCUUAACAGUUUUACAUGAAGAUUUUUAGAAAUUUUGCUUAUCAAGCUGUGAUGCUUACUGCCCAUUAUUUUAUAACGAGUUGCUAAUCUAGGAAAUUCAUUUGAAGCAGGCUGGCAUCUUAUUAUCUCUACAGGAUAAUUUAUUUAUUAAAUUUGGAUUCAAGCACUUCUCUGUAAAUUUGUAAGUUCGUUUAGGUUUAUUCUUAGAUAUAUUUUUGAUGGACCAAAUAUUAAAUACCUAAUUAGUUUGUGGAAGAUGUGUUGGCAUGUGUUUGUUUAAUUUAAACAUACAUGCUUAGCACCAUGUGUUGAGGAAAAUGACUUCUAUAAUGACAUCCAUGUCAACAAAAGCCAGUCAGCAUUUUGGUGGUGUGGUUAGUUUAAGCAUGCAUGAAAAGUUGCGGUCUUGUUGUAGGAUAAUGUUGCUUGUAUUUUGGUUUUUCUUUGAGUCAUUAAAGUACGUGAGAAUUAAGGAACUCUUAACUGUUUUGUGGAAGGAAAUCUUUGUUUCAAGCUAUUACUUUUAACAAUCAUGCUAUGUUGCCCAAAUUUUUUUACCACAAUGGUUGAUCAAUACUCAUAAUGGGGUGAGGCCCAAAUUUUUUUUUGGACUUUUUUAUUAAUGUGGGACCCAAGCGCAUCUUAAAGGAUGUCAAACAUUCUAUAAAAAAUUUUCGGACAAAGUUGUUUAAUUCUACUUGUCAAGAAAUUGACGUACAUUAAUUAUUGGUUGUGUGUGGUGGCCAAUCUUUGCUUUCUUUCAAUUAUUCUUUAGUCAGUAAAGCGCUUGAGAGUUUAGCAACUCUUGGCUGUUUUUAUGAUCUGAUGAAAGAAAAUUAUGUUUCAAGUUGCUUUUCAUGAAAUUAGUGUAACUAAAUUUUUGGUAGUGCCCACGCGCGUGUGUUUUAUUUAUUUUGAAUAUGGAAAGCUUAACCCAAGGAGAAAGGAAACUAGGGGUGGGCACGGGUCGGGUCGGUUCGGUUUGGUUCUAAAGAGAAUCGAACCGAACCAAAAUUUUCGGGUAUCUAAUAAAUGGAACCGUCGGGUCCAAAUAUAAUUAUGGAACCGUUCGGUUCCGUUCGGUUUUGUACUAUAAUUAAAUUUUUUAACAUUUAUAACAACAUUAUAUAAAUAAAACUAAUGAUACAUUCAAUGGAUUUGGAAUGUUAGAAACUAGUAGGCUACCUUACUCAAAUGAUCGCUACGGUCAAAGAUUCGCUCGGCGGAGAUUACAGUUUCGAUUGGAGGUCACAGCGUCGGCCAACAAUUGUAUAGGUUUUGGAAUGUUAGCGAGGCUGCGAGAGUGAGUGCGAGAGUCGAGACAACGUUAUGUACUUUAGUAUAGGUGUUUAGGGUUAUUUAGUGGAUUGAAUUUUGUUGGGCUAAGAAAUGAAACAAUAAAAUGGGUAAUUGGGAUAAAAAUUAAAAAAUUAGAAAUGAAACAAAUUAUUGGGCCAAAAAUUUGGAUUUAGAAAUUGUUAAUUUGUUAAAUUGUCUAGAAAAAAUUAAAGUUAAAAUAAUUUUAUUUACUCAAUAAAAAAAAUUAGAAAGAUUCGGUUCUUAUUCGAUUUUUGGGUUCUUGGUCUAGAACCGAGAACCGAACCAUACCCGUCGGUUUUCAAUUCAGAUAUCCGUUCGGGUAUUUAAUUUGACAAGAACCGUCGGGUUCGGUUCGGGAGAUUUGCCCAGUCCUAAAGGAAACAACUUAUAUGACAACAUCCAAGUUGGCGGUUGUUUUUCAGCAUUUAGGGGUUGCGAUAACGUUAAAUGUGCAUGAAAGCUUGAACUUUUAUUGAUGGCCAAUGUUAUCUUUUUUUAGUAAUUCUUUAGUCAUUAAAGCGGAUGAGAAUUUAGCGACUCUUGAUAGUUUCAAUGAUCUCAUAAAAGAAAAUUAUGUUUCAAGUUUUUGCUUUUCAUGAAAUUAGUGUCACUAAAUUUUUAGUCUUGUGCAUGCAUGUUUUGUUUAUUUUGAAUAUGGCAAGCUUAACCCCAAGGAGCAGAGGAAAAGGACUUAUAUGAUUAUAUCCAAGUUGGCGAUUAUCCAUUUGCAUUUGGGGUUGCAAAAGGAUUAAGCAUGCAUGAAAGCUUGUUGUUUUAUUGGUGGCAAAUGUUUGCUUUCUUUCAAUUGUUCUUCAUUAAAGUGCUUGAGAAUUGAGCAUCUCUUAGCUAUUUUUAUGAUCUUAUGAAAGAAAAUUUAUGUUUAAAGCUAUUGCCUUUCAAGAAACUAGGGUAACUUAAUUGUUUGUUGUGCGCGCGCGUGUGUUUUUAUUUUGCUAACUUAUCGUAGAGUAGAGGAAAAGGACCUAUAUGACGACAUUAAAAUUGGCAGCUGUCGGUAAGUAUUUGGAGACUGUGAUAAGGUUAAGCGUGCAUGAAACUUGCGGUUUUGGUUCUUCAGUGAUCAAAGCGCACGAGUUUCCAAGCAACUCUAGAUUGCUUUAAUGAUUUAAAAAAUGAAAAUCUAUGUUUCAGUUUGUAGGUUUUCAAAAACUUUUGGUGACAUCAUUCUUGGUUGUUCGAUAAUAUUUUUGUUUCCGAUGAAAAUAAAUUGUAGUUCGUCGAUUGUCAUGUGCAGUGAUAAUUCUGUGGUAUUUUUCACAAAAGGUUGUCUUGGAAACUAUAAGGAAUAUCAAUCCAAAACCCACGAGCAAUCGUCAAAUGGUAAAAAACAAAGCAAGAACAAAAAUCAAACAUACAGAUUGUUCACCCAAUUCAGCCAAACACGGCCUAAUCUAGGGAGCUCAGAGGUAAGCCCUUCACUAGCCAGAAACCUUCAAGAGAGUACAAACAGUUGAGAAAACUAAAUUAGACCUACAGUAUGGUCAUUGAUCCACAAGGAUCUCAGAAUAAUAUGAACCCUAUUCUACACAACUAGACAAAACCUUGUCAAGAACUCAGAAGAGAUUUACCAGCCACAAACAAGGCCUAAAACACUGCACUAUAUGUUCUACCAUCAUCAGAUAACCACAAAUAUUAUUACAAAACUACCAAAUAAUCUCCAGAUGUUAGAAAGGAAGAAAAGUGAUGGUAGACGUAGUCACGUAGAGAGAGAAACUUAAGAGACUAAACUUCAAACUGACUGACCGAUGGAAAGCCCAAAUCUCAAAAGUCUUUGAUUGUGGAAGACUGAAUCUCAGCCAUAGGAUCUGAUCAACGGUCCACAGUGACCAAGAGAAAGCACAACUCAUGUGAUAUUGUAUCCAUCAAUACCCAAGUGCCAACUGUUCAUUGGAGUGCAAGUGAGAUAAAAUCGUGUUUUUACUUAUGAAAGUGUGGUUUGAGAAACACAACUCUGAACCAUUUUCCUGAACCUCUUAAAGAAAGAGGCUGCUUUGGUGCCCAACAAUAAUUGUGUUGGUUGUCGGCACAGCAGGGUAUUGAAUCUUCUUUGAAUCUCUUGCCACCUCUUCUGUCUUCACUUUGUUUAGCUUUGUUAAUUUACAUCUAGGAGUAUCAGGCUCUAACCGUCUCACCUUCUCUUCAUUUUCCUUUGUUAGCGUAGGUUUCACAAACUGGUUACAUAAAGGGGAUACAAGCUGUAUGAAGAUCCAAGUAACUUUCAAUCCCUCUAUUAUUAGCCAACCAAAUCUUAACAGCUAGUAGGGUUAUAAUAAAUGUCAUUUGAAAUCCUGGAAAAUGUAGUCAAAUAAGAGAUUCUGUGUCUCUCUGUUUGUUUAGGGAUUAAUAAUUUAUCUGCAUUGACCAAAUGACUUUUUUCCUCAUUUUUGAGCAUGUCCUCUGUUACCUUGAGCAGGAAAUAUAUUUAACUCUAGCUUUUAAUAAUGUUAUUCAAUAAUAACACAGUGGCCUACGUAUUCACACAUGUUUGCAGUGUUCAGUGCUUGGUUGUAACAAUUUAUUUCCAAGAAGAAUAGCAUCAAGCCUUUAAUUUGAUAUGGACUCGGAAUGUAACAAGUUUGAAAGAAAUAGUUCACAUAUGGUUAAGUUUAUCAGAAUCUGCAGACAUAAGAACCUUGCUAAGGUUGCUAAGGGGCAUUCAAUUGUCUCUUUAGCUCGGGCUUUACUUAAUUAUAUCAAUUUUUUUCUUUCCCCCAUUUCCUAGAAGAAAGUGAAAGAAGUUUCAGAUUGAACCAUAGAUAAAGAAUCUACGGGUUUGAAAUCAUGUUGAUUCAAUUUAACGUAGCAACAAACAAUACUCUUUUGAUCACAUCUAAUUGUUUUUUACCCUUUCUUUAAUAUUGUAUCUUGAAUCUUGUAAUUUAUUUUCUCAAAUAUGAUUUGUUAUAUGGCUCGUAUCUAUGGUUAGCGACUAGGAAGAACUUGAUGGAACUCGUUGGGACAUCCAGCUUUUUAAACCUUUGGACUUAUAAAAUUAAGGCUUCUGUAUAAAGAUGUAUAGGAGGGAAGAGACUCCCAUGUUAAAUAUUUAUAUAUAUUUCUUAUUUCUCUGAAUUUCUUAGUAAUUGACAUCCCGAACUAAUGCCAUUGUGUUGCAUGAUGAAACUUGUGGAGAUGAAUAUGCUUUUUGUCGUGGGGAAACAUUUGUUUGGUUUAUGAGAGCAAUAGUUGUAGCUUAUAUAUGCUUUUUAUAUUGUUAUUUCUGCCUGGUAAUGAAAAGUUUAUACAUAUUUUGUUUUUGACACCCUCUUUAUGACAUCAAUGGUUGUUCAUAUUCUCUGUGUAGCAAUAUAUUUGAGACUAUUGCUUUCAUUUACUAUGGUUUUAUUUAUCAUUUCAGUUUCUAUGAUAGUGUUUCGGUUUGCGGGGAAUUUUAGGCUUAGAGAAGUCUUAUGAUGUUUUAUACCCACAUUUAAGAGGUGUUCACUACAGUCACUAUUAUUUGAGUAAUGCUAUGUAGUUGCACUAGGAUUACAAUCACAAUCUAAGUAGUACUAGAUGAUAGACUAAAUAAAAUGUGGAAUUAAAUAACUCCUUUAUUCCACUUAUCAUUUAAUGUCACAUUAGCUCUACUUAAACUGGGUUGUAAUUUCAAUGUGACUAAAUAACAUUCCUCUUUUUAUUUGCUUAGCUUCGAUUACCCAUGGUAAGAAGAGUGUCGAAAUGUGCGUACCAUUUAGGCUCAGCAUGUGAAAAGCACGACCCAUGUCUCCCUCAAGCUAAGUUCCAAUAAGCAUAGCAAAAAGCCUAGAGAGUGGGCACAGAUGGGUAUUCGUUCCAAUUGACCAUCUCCUUUCCUUUUUUGGAAUCCAAAAGAAAAAUUCUCCUAAAGGUUCUCUUUCUCACAUUGUUUUAGCUCGUAAACAUAUCUCAAUUUUUGUACAAUUUAUAAACGAUAAUAACAUUUCUCAGGUCCAAACCUAAGCAACAUGCAUGGAAUGUCAAAUGUAAAAAAUCUUUAAAAUAAGGAUUGUACUAGUUGUACAUAAUUUUUUAUCCAUAAAGAUCUCCAUACACUCACAUGGGUGGAAUCCACUCAAAUAUUUUAUUCAAGUGGGUCUCACUUCAUAUAAGAGUAUGGUCACCUUUAUGGAUGAAAAAUUAUGUACAACUAGAUUUAUCCUAAAAAUAAAUAUCAUUAAUGCUUUCAGCUUUUUUCUUCAUACUACUCUUUCAAUCGAACCCCUAAUAAAAUGAUAACUGAAAUAUAUUCGAAAUCCUACCAACAAUCACGCUAAAAAAAAUUAUUUAUAUACUCUUCUAUUUAAAUAUACGAGGAGUAAUUUUCACACACCUUUACCUUAUAAUCUAGUCAGUUCAUAACAACUUAGUAAAGUAACUGAUUGGUAUGGAGAGAUUGGAGGAGUCACAUAAUCUCAUAUGAUUUAGAAAUUCUCAUUAUUUUUUAUCAGAAACUUUUCAGUCCCACAACCAAUAAUUCUAUGCCUUUUCCCCCUUCCAAACAAAGUCUUAAACUCACCGUGUUAAGAUUUGGGACUUAUUUUAAAAGGUUAACCUUAAUAAGAGGAGUAGUCCAAUUCUUUAUAAGUUGGUCUAUAUUUCCAUCUAUAAUCGAUAUGAGAUUUUAUUAUUUAACAUACCUUCACAAGAGGUAGCUCGUUUGAACAGAUCAAUCUUGAAAUUCGUAUGCUUAUUUAUUGAGUCUUAAUCUGAUCGAAUUGCUUGUUGGAGCAUAAUAAGUUCGAUACCAUGUUAAGAUUUGGGGUUUCAUUUUAAAAUGUCAACCUUAUUAAAAGGAAUAAUUUAAUUCUUUAUAAGUUGGUCUAUAUUUUCAUUUUAAUCGAUAGCUGAAAGUCCAAAUGCCGAAAUCAUAAAUUCAGUAGACCAGAUAUCAAACUUACCACCUUGCGUAACCACUAUUGCACACGUUCUCACACUCUCGGUCGGGAUGUGAUUCUCCUCACAUUUGUCACUUUAUAACUACCUUUUUCCCCAUGCAUUCAAUUCCUUCACCAUGCAUCCCCUGGCCACAAUCUCUAUAUCUCAACACGGUUACAACUAAAGUUAUCACUUCUAUUUCUCUCACAAUUGUGCUUUCAGAUAACAGUGGGUACUUUUUAGAUCAGGGCGGAGUUUUUGAAGAUGGCUAUGAACCAACUGGUGAUAGAAGGAGCAGAAAUGGUAGCUUCAUAUCGGAUGCAUGGUGAUGCUUGGUCGGAAGAGGCAACGUCAACCUUGGUUGAUGCUUGGGGAUCUAGGUAUUUACAGGUCAAUUGGGAUAACCUUGUAGGAAAACAAGUCGCUAGUGGAUGAAACUAAUUGUAUAAGUUUUAUUCAAUUGCAAUAGCCAACUAUUGAAAUUAAUAAUCACAAGGUAAACGAUUUCAAUUUAUAAAAAAAAAAUUCCGUUUCAGAAUUUUCCAAUGGCUGAAAAAAAUGUUUAGCAACACAAAAUCAAAAAUAUAAUUUAACUGCAGACUAAAAUUGUAAACGAUGAAUCUGGAAGCUGCACACUAUGGAACUACAAAUUGUAUGAAUUAAAUAGUAAUGCGAAAAUAAUCUGUAGAAAGAAAACACAAACUGUAGCAGAUUUCAAACCGAGGCCUAUGUGUGCACAGUUUCGCCACCUCACCGUAGGUGCUAGAAGUUCAGUUCGAAUGGCUGUCUCCCAGGAUACAACGAUAAUAAGCAGAAUCCGAGCACCGCGGUCCUACUUCGAAGAACUAAUCUAGUAUCUGAACAAUAUCACCACAAAAACAAGACCUUACUGGACAAGGAAUGCAGAAAAGAAGAACUUUGUAUGCAAGAAUGUAGGUGAGAUUUUCGAGUGUGUUAGAUUGCUGGAGAAUGAGUCUUUUUAUAUGCAUAUUGCCCAUUAAUAUUGUGACCAUUGGGAGUCCAUUGGAGUUACUUCCCAUUAACACUGUGACCAUUGGAGUUUUUUUUUCAGUUUAGAAACUCAAAAGUUAUUGGAGAAGGCAAAAAAAAAAAAUUGGCAAAACGUGGGCUCUCCGAUGGGGCCAUUUUUGCCUUGUUCGGUCCGACAUUCGUGUGCGCAGGUCGCGCCCGCACCUAAGUUCAAGGUCCGAAGGCCAUUUCGGUUCGUGAUUUUCACCCCCUGCAUGCGCACGUGGAGAGAGCCUCUAUGCUAUACAUGAUUACACAUCUCCAAAGCAUAGCCAUAUAUAAAGUGGUUUGAGUUUCCUCGGUUUUCCUAUGUGGGAUAAAUGCAUUUUUUCCCCACAAAACCAACUUCCAAUGACCAACUUUGAACUUCAAUUUCUCAUUCACCCGAGUUUCAUUUUUGGCAAAUAAAUACAUGAAAUUGAUGUUCUCACGGAGGAGAACACAUCUCAACUUUGAUAUUCCACAUUGGACCAAUGGGUCCCAUCAAAAAUUGUGCCAAAAGUGAGCCGCUCACUCAAUUUUUUCCAACAAUCCCACACAUGAAUGAAAAUUGGGAGAGACACGAAACGUGAGACACAAGACUUGGUGAUAAAGUUCAGCAGUUGAAUCCUGUAUAGGAUAGGUAGGUGUUACCCUUUGAACCUUCCCUUGUGAAAGCAUAUUUACUUUACUGACUAACCAGUAGAUGCGAUGUCCUUGAACUGUUCUAUCGUUUGUGUAAAUGAUGAUAUACCUCACAUAGGAUUCUUCAUAACACAAUCCAGUUCUCAUUGUUAUGUUCGUUUUGGCCAUGAACAUAUGCCUGGUUCUGUGAGAGUUCUUAAAAAUUGAGCCCCACACAAUUCUCUUAGAAAUGACCCACUUCUCUCUCACAUAAGUGAUUUCUUAUUACAAGUAACCCGUAUUACUUGGUUCGAUUUACGACGCAUAAGAAUCAUUAAAAGCAUAUUGCUUAACCUUCAACCUUACGGGCAUCACUAUUACUUCAUAGGAAUGGACAGGAGGUAAUACCCCCACAGUGAUUUUAUGAAGUCUUUACAGUUAGGUUUUCCCAUUGAACCUAGAUCUUGGGAUCUCCAUUGAACUAUGUUGUGUUUUCCUUUGUAAUGACUUAUUUUUUCAAGGGCUUAAAUCCCAUUCCUUUCGAUGAUUUCAUAACUAACUCUCUAUUUAACCCUUUGGUUAGCGGAUCCGCAAUGUUAUCUUUUGACCUUAUAUAGUCAAUAGUGAUAACUCCAGUUGAGAGUAGUUGUCUUAUGGUAUUGUGUCUACGACAUAUAUGUCUAGACUUACCAUAAUAUAUGUUACUCUGUGCCCUUCCUAUUGCCAAUUGACUGUCAUAAUAUAUGCAAAUUGCUGGCAUAGGUUUUGACCAUCUUGGAAUAUCCUCUAAGAAGUUGCGCAACUAUUCAGCCUCUUCACCACAUUUAUCUAGAGCUAUAAACUCAGAUUUCAUCGUAGAUCUGACUAUAACCGUUUGUUUGGAGGAUUUCCACGAUGUGACAGCACCACCUAAUGUGAACACAUAUCCACUCGUAGAUUUUGAGUCUUUUAUAUUAGAUAUCCAAUUAGCAUCACUGUAUCCUUCAAUGACUGCUGGAUAUCUAGUAUAAUGUAGUCCAUAGUCACGAGUAUAUCUUAAGUACCUUAGUACUCUUACAAUUCCUUUCCAGUGAUCAACUUUUGGAUUACUCGUGUAUCUACUCAAUUUACUGACUGUGUAGGCUAUGUCUGAUCUAGUACAACUCAUUAAGUACAUUAAACUUUCGAUAACUCUCGAGUAUUCUACUUGAGAGAUACUUUCUCCUUUGUUUUUAGACAGAUGUUGACUCGUAUCUAUUGUAGCCAAGCCAGUAUCAUCCUUAUGGAAUUUUCCUAAAAUUUUGUCUACAUAAUGUGACUGACUUAGAACAAGCCCAUUUGAUAUUCUUGAGAUUUUCAUUCCAGGUAUAACAUCAGCUAAACCCAUAUCUUUAAUGUCAAAUCUCGAGUUUAACAUAUUUUUUUAGUGGAUUCAAUCAUCUUAUUGUCACUACUGAACAAGACUUUUUGGACUGAAGUACCGUGCAAAAAUCAGAUUGAUGCUGUGAAAAAAGUACAAAUUUGGGAAGGCGAAGGUUGCACAGAGUACUGGGACGAUCAUGUCGUCUUGGCCUUUCUUCUCGCAUUCUGAGUUUUUGGUUGGAGCUAAUUUUAGUAAACAGUAGGCAAGAGCAAUGCGACUGACUACUCGAGCCGUGUCAACGGAGAUGACGUCAAUGUCAGUUCCAUCACUUCUAUUGACUGGGCCAUUGACAUCAAAUUAGUAUAUGCUGUCGUCCUCCAUCUUUACGCCAAUGGUUUUAUCCCAGAUGUGUCCGUUGCCAGUGUUGAUAGGGGAUGAGGUAAAUUUGGAAAACAACUAUUAUGCGACUACUCCAGUGGUGGUGACUGAAGUGGAUCGAAAGCAGAACAAUUCAGCGACUGCUGCUACUACGGAGAUGGCUGCUGAGGUGGAUUUGGAGGAGAGAGGUUCUGACAGUGAUGAAAUUGAGGUAAUAGAGUUGAAUAAUGGGAAGAAAGAGGAGGAAGUGGACAAUGGGGUGAGAAGAUAUUUGAAGGCGAUAAAGAGGUUUGGAGAUAGAUAUGAGAGGGAGAUGUUAUGAAACAAAAUCAAAUGGUGGAAUUGGAGGUGCAGAUAAUGCAUUUUAUUAAGGACUUGGAAGUUCGAAUGAUGAAAUUGUUAAUGGAUACUGUGGUCCAGCUCGAGAAGAACAAACAGGCCGAGCAAUCUGGAUCUUCUGAUGGUAUAGCUUCAAGAUCUUUCGUAUUUUGCAUGAAUGCUUUUGGGAUUUUUUCUAUUUAUCAAGUUUUGAUGCUUCAGGAUUUAUUGUCCAUUAUUGCAUCACGAGUAGCAUGUCCAAGAAAUUCAUUAGUAGCAAGCCAGUUUCUGAUUAUUAUUUGUUAGAUAAUUUCUUUAUUAAGUUUGGAUUCAUAAAUUAUUCUGUAAAUUCAUAUGUUCGAUUAGGUUAAUUCUCAAAGUUGUUUCUAAUUGAUAAACGAUUCAACUUCUAAUAAGCUUGAGGAAGAUGUGUAUACAUGUGUUCAUUUACUUUGGAUAUGGAAAGCUUAGUGCCAUGGAUGAGGAAAAGGACGUAUAUAUGACGACAUACAUGUUAAUAGAAGUCAAUCAGCAAUUUGUGGGCGCAGUUAUUGAAAGCGUGUAUAGAAGUUGUCGUUUUGUUGCUGGCUAAUGCUGCUUGAAUUUUAGUUUUUCUUUAGUCAUUAAAGCGCUCAAGGCUAAACGAAUUUUUAGCUAUUUUUAUGAUCUGAUGAAACGAAAUCUAUGUUUCAAGUCGUUUCUUGAAAUUAAUGCAAAUUAAUUGUUGGUUGCAUGUAUUUUUGUUUAAGCUUUGCUUUCCAAGAGUUAGAGGAAAAUGACCUAUAUGAUGACAUCCAAGUUGGCAGUCAGCGUUUGGGAGCUGCGAUAAGGUUAAGCAUGCAUGAAAGCUUGUAGUUUUAUAAUUGGUAGCCAAUAUUUGCUUUCUUUUUGUAAUUCUUUAGUCAUUAAAGUACGUGAGAAUUUAGCAACUCUUGGCUGUUUUUAUGAUCUCAUGAAAGAGUUUUUUUUUUUUAAGUUGUUGCUUUUCAUAAAAUUAGUGUAACUAAAUUUUUGAUCAUGUACGUGCAUGUGUUUUGCUUAUUUUGAACAUGACAAGCUUAACUCAAAGGAGUAGAGGAAAUGGACUUGUGUGAUGACAUCCAAGUUGGCAGUUGUUUGUCAAUAUUUGGGGGCUGCGAUAAAGUUAAGCGUGUAUGAAGUUUUAUUAGUGGUCAAUGUUGCCUUUCUUUUAGUUAUUCUUUAGUCAUUAAAGCACAUGAGAGUUUUGCAACUCAUGUCUGUUUCUAUGAUGAGAGGAAAGAAAAUUAUAUUUCAAGUCACUUUUCAUCAAAUUAGUAUAACUAAAAUUUUUGUCUUUUGCGCAUGUUUUUUAUUUUAUUUUGAAUAUGGCAAGCUUAACCCCAAGGAGUAGAGGAAAAGGACUUAUAUGACGACAUCCAAGUGGCGGUUGUUGGUCAGCAUUUGGGGGCUGCAAUAAGGUUAAGCAUGCAUGAAAGCUUGCUAUUUUAUUAGUGGAAAUGUUUGCUUUCUUUUAUUAGUUCUGCAAUCAUUAAGGCAGGCUAAUUAAGCUACUCUUGUCUGUUUUUAUAAUCUUAUGAAAGAAAAUUUAAGUUUAAAGCUGUUGCAUUUCAAGAAAUUAUUGUAACUUAAUUGUUGGUGGUGUGAUCGUGUGUACUUUUGUUUGGUAAACAUAACCAAGAGUAGAGGAGAAUGAUCUAUAUGAUGACAAUAAAGUUGGCGACCGUCAGUCUGUAUUUGGGGGUUGUGAUAAGGUUAAGCAUGCAUGACACUUGCUGUUUUAUUUGUAGGUAUUUUGUUUGUGUUUAGUUUAUCAACGCGUGUGAAUUUCAAAGCAACUCUAGACCGUUUUGGUGAUUUGAUAAAAGAAAAUCUAUGUUUCAAUCCAUUGGUUUUCAAGAAAUUUUGGUAACAUAAUUCUUGGUUCCUUGGCAAGUAAUAAAUUGUAAUUUGGUCGAUUGUCAUGUGCAGCAAUAAUUCUAUUGUAUUUUUGUCAAAAGUUGUCUUCAAACAUUUUCCUGAACCACUUAAAGAAGGGGCUGCUUUGGUGCAGAACCACAAUCAUGUAGAUUGUUAGGUUUUUUGAUACCCAAUAAAUCUGAGCAAUGAUGUUAAAUCGAUGUUGGAUAAGUUAUAUUAACACCUUAGUGAUAGCUCAACCCGGAAACAACUUGGGGUCAUUUUAAGCAAUUUAAUUGAGUUAAUGUUGCUUGUGGACCAACACUUUUGGAUGGCCCAAGUUGUGGAUUUGCAUUGGGAUGAUAUAUUGGUUAUUUGGAUUGUUGGCCCAAAUACCCUUUGGCCCAUUGGUUACCCUAAACUAACCUAUUAUAUAAACACUCAUCCCUAGCCAUUUUGUUGUGUGUUGGUUCUGUGAGAAAGAGAGAAAAACGUGAGUUUCUUGGUCGGCUUUGGAUCUUCUUCCUUAAGGUUCUAAUUGCUACUCUAUUUUCUCUCCCUUUGUGGCUUGCAAACCAAUCACCAACUGUCUCCUUUGUGGGGUGAAGACUUGUGGCAACUAAGUAAGAGUUGUGGGUCGAGUAAAGCUUGAUUGGUGUUCAUUUGGUUGAUGAAAUUGAGCCCGAAUUAAGAUUUUUUUUGAGAGAUUUCCGCGAUAAAUGUUAUUAGAGCUUGUGUUGUUAAGAGAUAUAUGUGGGCGAAAAUAGGCUGGAAGUAGUAUGAAUCGAGGCUGGAAAAUGGGAUAGAAAAUUGCCUAGAUUUGCAAAUUUCUGGCGGGGCCUGCAAUCGCAUUUUUCGACGAAAUUGCUCAUCAUAUGGCAAACGAAGACCACCAGUGGACUCAUCAAGCAGAGGCGCAGCCGUAGGAGUGGCACGUGGCCAGAGUCGCCAGCACCGACGUUUGAGGUAGAAUACGACAAAGGUGCCAAAAGACAGAAUAUUGCUGAUAACAAGACGAACCUGGGGUAUUGUCAGAUUUAAGUUUGGAGUAUUAAGGUGAAAGUUGGACAAUUUUGACCUUGGUUGUUCGGGUGUCGUUUUGUGUUGCUGUGAUUGCUAGUUACUUUAGGAUAAACAGUGAUGAUCCUAUAGUGGUGAAUUUACGUUUCUCGAUACGGACCUUCAGACAUGGUCCGUUCAAUAUCGUGCUCUUUACCUUUUAUUAUUGCAGUUAAAAUUAUAGUGCAGAGUAAUUAUUUAUUUUUCGCAUUAGAUAUCAUCGUGUGGGGUGAGGUUAGAUUUGGAGUUAUUGUGAAGAAGUAAUCAUUGCCUGUUGCUAGACUUAGGAAUUAUUUGUCUUAAAUUCUUUGUGAAUUCGUUGCCAAUUCUUCCACAUUGUUAGAAUUGCAUGUGACCUUAGGAAAGUUUGUUUGAUCAUUCUAUGUGAAUUAUGUCUAUACUUUUCUUGUGGUCAUUAUUUGGUAUCGUUGGCAUGUGUAAGUCUAAGGCAAGUGGAAAAAUAAAAUGUGUUUUAACUGUUGUAAAAUUGGACAUGGUAAAAUAGAUUGCCCUAGGAAUGAUAAUAAAAGAAACGAUAAGAAGAGGGGUGAGGCGAAUGUUGUCGUUAGGUCGAGUGAUGACCCAUGCGAGGUUUAUUGUGAGUAAACAUAGUUACUGCACGUGCAUCAGUGUAUGUGUGUGAUCACUUAAUUUUAUAGCAAUGUUGAUAUGCUACACUUUCAAUAUGUUUGAUGUGUAUAAUUGCAUGAAUUAGAGUGAUCUUGUUACUCUGUGUAACGUGUUUGCAUGCAUAGUGGAUUGAGUUUUGUGUCGUACUCCAUUUGCUCUGUGAGUGGUGUGAGAGAAUGGUAGUGAGAAGAAAGAUGGGUAGCCGUUUUCUCCUUUAUCUUUGUAAGCUUUUGUUGUUUGUGAGAUUGUAUGAGGCAGCCAGGGGUUAUCUUCUUUCUCUUUGUUAGCCUUUUUUGUAAGUGUAGUGAAGUAACCAACUCUUUCUUCUAUUUUUUUUAUGAAUGCCACUUCCACCAUUUCCUUUGUGGAUUUCUUUAGCUUUAGUGAUUGAAGUAACCUUGUAGUGCUUGGGUCAAUUUUAAAUUGAGCCCUAACCUUUGUGGUUUCCGAAAGGUAUUGUUUUGCCACAGUGGGUUUGAGAUGCAUUAGUAGUGUGUUGAGUAUCUAUUGGUAAGGUGGAGUAUAGAUGCUUGAAAGUGCAUUGCAGAUAUGCAUGGAGGAUGUAGAGUGUAAAAUUUGGAUCGCGAGUAGAGAGGUGAUUAAAUGUUGGGAUUCUUUAUCUGUGAAGAGACCAUAAACAAGUGGAGUGUAACAUUUGGAUCACAAGUGGAGAGGUGAUUAAAUGUUGGGAUUCUUUAUCUGUGAAGAGACCCUGUACAGGUGGAGUGUAAGAGAGGUAUUUCUAUCACUUUUAUUAGGUGGAGACCCAUUAUCCACGUAGGUUAAGAGAAGUGAUGUGGUGAUAAAGGAUUAUUUUGAGAAUUUAGGAUCUAUUGUGAUUUACUAGUUAGACAUGAGUUGAAUGAUCAGUCCAGUGAGCAUGGUAGGCGAUGAGAGAAGAUAUGUGUUCUGGAGGUGUGAGCAACACGGAAUGGGAUAGGAUAAGUAUGGUGAAAUUUUUUCGUGGGAAAUUUAUGCAUUUGUUGCACAUGUGUUUGAUCUUGUAUUUGAGUCAUUUAUGCAUUUGUUGCAUAUGUGUUUGACCUUUUAUUUGAUUAGCUUGGUGUAAUCUAUGGUUUUAUGUGAACGUGUUUCUGAAAAGAUCUAUAUGUAUUAUCCUAUAAUAUAUCGUCAUUGCAUAUUUAUUUGCUCUUGAUUGUUUAUUGUGAAUAUCUGCUUCUAUUUGGAUGUUCUUAAUCUUAGCCCUCGUGAGUACAUGGAGUAGGCAUGAUAUGUGUUUCAGGUUAGAAUCACGAGGUAAGAUUCGUGAUUCAAUUUUAUUGACUACCUUGAUUAUAUAAGUGCUAACUGUGUAUUUUGAUUGCUUGCAGAUUUAUUGGGUAUCAAUGUGGAGAUUUGUUGGGUUUUUUGAUAACCAAUAAAUUCGGACGAUGAUGUUAAAUCGAUGUUGGAUAGGUUAUAUCGACACCUUAGUGAUAGCUGGACCCAAAAACAACUUGGGGCCAUUUGAUGCAACUUAAUUGAGUUAAUGUUGCUCGUGGCCCAAUACUUUUGGAUAGUCUAAGUUGUGGCUUUGCAUUGGAAUGACAUAUCAUAUAUUGGUUAUUUGGAUUGUUGGCCUAAAUACCCUUUGGCCCAUUGGUUACCCUAAACUAACCCAUUAUAUAUACACUCAUCCCUAGCCAUUUUGUUGUGUGUUGGUUUUGUGAGAAAGAGAGAAAAAACGUGAGUUUCUUGGCCGGCUUUGGAUCUUCUUCCUUAAGGUUCUAGUUGCUACUCUAUUUCCUCUUCCUUUGUGAUUUGCAAACCAAUCACCAAGUGUCUCCUUUGUGAGAUCAAGACUUGUGGCAACCAAGUGGGAGUUGUGGGUCGAGUAAAGCUCGGUUGGUGUUCAUUUGGUUGAUGAAACUGAGCUCGGAUCAAGAUUUUUUGAGAGAUUUCCUCGACAUCUGCAUUUCUUAGUAAACUAGCAUCUCAAACUGAUGCCAACAUCUUGUGCGAUGAAACUUAUAGAGACGAAUAUGCUUUUUUUUUGUGGGAAAUGUUGGUUUGGUUUAUGACAGCAAUAGUUGUAGCUUAUAUAUGCUUUUUAUAUUAUUAGUGUUGCCUAGUAAUGCAAUGUUGAUACAUGUUCACUGCAGUCAUUAAUAUUUGAUGAGCUUUGAUUAUCCAUAGUAAGAAGGGUUUUGAAGGCUCAGUAUGUGAAAAGCAUGACCCAAGUUUGGUCCAUGCUAAAUUACAAAGAGCGUAAGAAAAAAAAUCAGGCGAGCUAUUUUUGUCAUUGACAUUUAAUGAAUAGAAGUCUAACAACAAGCACAGACACAAAAGUGUAUUGGUCCAAAUGACAGUGAUAAGCAUAUAAAAGUGAAAAGAAGUGCAUUGGUCAAGGCUCUAAAAUAUGGAUAUUUCAUAGUUCUUUUCAUGAAACUAUAGUCUAUUUAUUGUAUAAUAUGUUUAUUUGGUGAAACUCGAUGAAUAGAAGUUGGAAGAAAUAAGCGAAAAUUGACAAAAAGUGGCAAGAUUCAAAGUUUGGAGACUAAAGUGUAAAUACUCAAAAGUUGUAUAGAACCUCACGAUGAAGAUUCAAGGAUGCUAGGAGGUUAAUUGGGUGUAAUUAAAAGUCAAAAGAACUAAAAUAUGAUCAAAAUAAUUUCACAAAUAAAUUUUCAACUAUACAAUUAUGUUUCAUAUCUUUAGUCGGAGAUUGAGACACUUUUUUGCUGUAGUAAAUGUUUGAAUUAAAAAAAAAAUAUAUCUCUAGUAAAGUUGUAGCCCUUUAAGUUAUCUUCCAAAGCACAUUGAAUAGUCUUAAUCAAAUAUCGAAAGAGAAAAUUAUAACAAAAAUACUGAAUAAUGGGCAUCUUUGGAACUCGGCGCCACUAAGUAGGCUCUUCGGGAAAAAAAUAAAAAAGCAAAUUCGCGACAUCAAGGCGCCAUGGCACUAUUCGCUUCCUAAUAUGGUUUCCAAAUACAAUUCAUCUUUUUAAAUGCCAAAUUCAACUAACACGAGAACACGACUGUGUGGGAGAAAAACACAUAAUUAUCAAGAUCAAAGAGCAAAAGCUAGGGUUUGUAGACUUUUGAGAAUGAAAAUGAUUCUUAGUGCAAGAUCCAAUUGUUUCCAUCAUCAAAAUUUCAAAACCCACUUACGAACUUUAUACUUUUUUUAUUCAUUAUUAUGAGUAGUUAAAUUCAUAACUAGAGCAAACAAUGUAAUUUAUGUGGGACCCUUUAUUUCCUUUAAACAAGAUUCUAGUUCUUUAAAUGCAUUUUAUGUGUUGAUUUUAUUAAUGAAUUUAGUGCUUUAAAUUCUUUGGCCAAUUUUUCAAUGAUUUUAUUAAUCUAUCACGAUUUGAAAUGUGAGUUUUAGAUUUAGAUCACAUAGUAAAAUCUGGAAUGUAGAGAUAUCUAUACUAACCAUUGCAGCGUUAAAUAUAUUCUUAUUAUAUAAUUGCAUUUAAUUGAGAUUCAUUCACAUAGAGAUAUGAAAUUAAAUUAGUUAAAUAGAAUCAAUGAAUUGAAUUCUUUAGAAGAUUCGAUCGAACACUACAAUAGUAAUGAAUCUUGGUUAUCUAAUUAAAGGGAAUCCAUUGGUAAAAUUGUAAGACCUAGCAUCCACAUUCAUACUUUUAAAACCUAAAUUCAAUAAAUUGUAUACGUUAGAUUAAGUUAGUUUAGUUAGAAUCAUUUAGAUACCAAUUACAAACUUCGUUAUUUGUUUUCGAUCAAAUUAAAGUCAGGAAUAAUUUAACCAAUGGUUAGAUAGUUGUCCUCGUGGGAACAAUAUCCGAACUCAUUGAUCUGCUACAUUACUUGUUAUGAUUGGUGCAUUUGCAAGAUAUAAAAUCAACAACAAGUUUUUGGUACCAUUGUCAGAUACUAUUUUAUUUAAUAUUAGUUUAAAUUAUUAUUUACUUUUGCUUGAUUUUUUUUCCUUUUUCUUUUUUUAGAUGAUCCGUUUCCUUUUCAUUGCACCAUUGACAAUGAUUCAUCUUGAUUUGGAUGAUGGUCACGUGCUCUUUGGAGAAUUCAUUUUCAAACAAGAACUUAAAACGUUGGAAUACAAUCAACCUAUCCUCUUUGAUAACGAUGACUUUUUGAAAGAACUAAUUAUCAAAUCUAUUGCUUAUGGAAAGAUUAAACUGACAUGUAAAUCUUGUGGUGCAUUGCAUUAAACUGCUUGUUAUUAACAACUUCAGAUGAAGUAAGAAAAUAUAUCUUCAAUGGUCCCUAUGAAAAACAAGAUAAUGACUGUGAAAUAAUUACGGAAGACAUCAUCAUGGCAAAAUAUGAAAGGACUGAAGAUCAAGUAAUUUUAGAUGAAUCAAAUAAUAUGCCAAUGAAGGAUCUCUUUAUUAUUUAAUCUGAGGAACCAACUAAAGAAGAAGAACGUGGAGAAACAAAUAAAUUAAUCACUAAGGAACCAAAUGAACUAGUGGUGUUCAAAGAAGGUAGGAUUAGAAUGCAAACCUCCAAUUUCAUUAAUUUAGUGAUUAAAGUCGAUGAGGAAAUUUAAGUAUUCUUAGUUGAGUUCAAAUUGGAUAAUUUAGGCAAGUCAUACCGUAUUUAAAAUGGCAAAGUACGAUUUUGGAGGACGUGUGAAAUAUGAAACGAAGUCAAAUUGAACAAGUUAAAAUAGGACUUUCAAAGCCAUACUCAAAGUGUCAUAAAGCCCUUGUGCAAAAAUCAAACUUGAGACUAUAAGUCAAGAGCUCAUUGGGAGAAAAUCUAAUUUCUUACCCUUCUAUUUAUUAUGCUUUCUGUAUUUCAUUAUAUAAAGUCUAUUACAAUGCAUUAGUUUUAGGCAUAUUUCUAUUUCAAUAAAGAGAGUUAUCAUAUCGAUAUUAAGCCUAUUUUAGAAAAAAAUUAUAUAUUUGAGUAAAAAACAAUAGAAAAGACAUUUAGCAUUUUUUCAAAGCUUCAGGAACAUAAAAAAUUAUUAUUAUAAUACACGCCACAUUAUUGAUUUUAAAUUGCUUUUGAACUCUUAUAUUUAUCUUCGUUCAUUUUUCAAAGGUACAUGGAAAUUGAGUAGGGAUAGCUUAAAAAAAAGGAAUGAAUUGAUCCAACAAGCUACUUCAAAUAUCAGAUAGAAAAUCCAGGAGUACUUUCUUCCCUAUCCGUUAUAUGUGAUAUAUUAGACUUUAAGACAUUGAGACAACGUCUACAUUAAGUUUGAGGAUGGAAAAAUAAUGAGUUUUAACUUUUGUAUAUGUUUGUGUGUUUGUUACUUUAUUAAAAAUAAAAUAAAACAAAUUUUUCUUGUUAUUGUGUGCUUGUGUGAGUUAGGUAGCCUUGACUGCAAUGAUGAAUAUACUUAAAAUUGUGUUUUGAUUUAUGAACCGUGGAUAGGUCAUAUAUUUGGAUUAAUUUAUGCUUAGCCAUGCAACAUUUAAUACUAUUUGCAUGCAUGAAUUAAAUUUGACAUUAUGAAGAUUCUUGUACUUGAUAGAUUGAAAUAGUAUAUCUUUGAUACCAAAUCCCAAAAAAAAAAAAAUUACUAUAUUAUACAUCCUUAGACCAAAGUUAGCAUAGUUUGGGAUUAAUUUUACUGUUGUAGGAAGAUAUGGAUAUGGAUACGAAUGAGGAUUUCAUGUGUGGAUUGUCUAAAAUCAAUGAGAUGAAAUUAUGUAAAAAUUUUAAAGUUAGAAGUCGAAUUUUUAUGAAAUUGUGUUUAAUAAGAGACGUUACACUAAUCAUUGUAUAAAAAAGAAAAAGAAAAGAAAAAGAGUGAUCUUAUUGUGUAACAUCUUUUCAUAGCCUUUAUUAGCUGAAUUAAAUCUUACAGGUUGAAGCAAUAAAAAAUUUGGAGAAUCUUUAUUUACUGAAAAGUUAGCUUGCAAUUAGUAAAAUCCAUUUGAACUAGAGAGAGUGAGGAUAAGUAUAAAGAGUCAACCUUAAAGAACACACUGGGAAUGGAGUAAAAAGAACAAGUUUGGAGUUGUGUGAAUCUUACGGGUGAUGAAAGAAUAAAUUUGACCGUUGAGGGUUGAAAAUUGAAACAACUCAUGAAGUAUAAUGUUUUGCUUGAUUCUUCACACACACACAUCGAUUUUGGAUUGGAAAAGUUUAUAUUGAUUUUGGUAAUGUAACUUUGAAGUAGUUUAUAAAUUUAAUAUCAUGAUUUCAAUCCUGAAGCAAAAUGACAAGGUAUCUAGCCAAAAAUUUCUUUGCAUGUUUGGUUAUUUAUUAAGUAGGUUACGACUUUAUUUGAGAACAAACAAAUAUUUAAGUUUGAGGUUGUUUGAUAAGUGUAUUUUUAUAAAUUUAUCCAAGCUCUAAAAUAUGGUUAUUUCGUAGUUCUUUUAAUGAAAUUAUAGCUUAAUUUAUUGUAUAGGUGAAACACGAUGAAUGGAAGUAGAAUUUGAAUAAAGAAGCAAAAAUUGACGAAAAAUGGCAAGAUUCAAAAUUUGAGGAUUAAAGUGUAAAUACUCAAAACUUGUCUAGCCUCACAAUGAAGAUUCGAGAAUGCUAUGAGGUUAAUUGAAUGCAAUUAAAAGUCUCCUAUGAGUCAAAUAUGAUCAAAAUAUUUUUACAUAUCAAAUUUCAACUGCACAAGUAUGUUCCAAAUUUUUAGUCGGAGAUUGAGAUCCAUUUUUGAUGUGGUUAGUGUUUGAAUCGAAAGAAAUCUAUCUCUAGUAAAGAUAUAGUCCUUUGAGUUAUAUUUUCUAAGCACUUUGAAUUGCCUUAAUCGAAUAUCGGAAGAGAAUGUUAUGACAAAAAUACUGAAUAAUGGGCAAAGUUGGAGCAACAGGGUAGCGCCAAGGCAGCACCAAAUGGGCGCUUAUUCUCGUGGUGAAAAAAAGUAGAGCCAAGGUCGCAUGCUACCAAAUAAGGUUUCCAAGUGCAAUUCAUCUUUUUUAAAGUACAGUUCAACUAAAACUCUUCCAAAACUUAAAGAAGACAUAAAUACAACUAGAGAACAUAAUUGGGAAAGUGGAGAGAAAAGCACAUAAUCAUCAAAAUCAAAGAGCAAAAGCUAGGGUUGGAAUACUUUUGAAAUCGAAGAAGAUACUUGGUGCAAGAUCCAAUUCUUUCCAUGAUCCAGAUUUUAAAACUUAGCUAUGAAUGCUAUAUUUUUUCCUUCCAUUAUUAUAAGUAGCUAAAUUCAUAGCUAUGGCAGGCAAUGUAAUCUAUGUGUGACCAUUUAUUUGUUUUAUUCAAAAUUCUAGUUCUUUAAAUGCAUAUGUGUUGAUUUUAUUCAUAAAUUUAAUGCUUUGAAUUUUUUGGCUAAUUAUUCAAUGAUUUUGUGAAUCUAUUAUGAAUCAAGAGGUAAGUUUUAGAUUUAGACCACACAGUAAAAUUUGGUAAUUUAAUAUAACAUGUAGAGAUAUCUAUACUAACUAUCGCAGUUGUUAGAUGGAUUCCUAGAACAUAAUUGCAUUUAACUAAUAUUGAUUCACAUAGAGAUAUGGAAUUGAAUUACUUAAAUAAACUCAAUGAGAACUCGAGGGGGGUAAAUUGAAUUAUUUAAAAGAAUUCAAUUGAACACUACAAUAGUAAUGAAUUUUCAUUAGCAAAUUAAAUGGGAUCCAUAGGUAAAAUUGCAAAUCUUAGCAUCUACACUUAUACUUUUAAAACCAAAAUUUGAUAAAUUGUGUACAUUAGAUUAAGUUAGUUUAGUUAGAAUAUUUUAGAUACUAAUUACAAACCUUAUUAUUUGUUUUCGAUCAAAUUAAAUUAGGAAUAAUUUAACUAAUGUUAAAUAGUAGUCCUCGUGAGAACAAUAUCUAGAAUUAUUGGUCAUUAUAUUAUUUGUUACUAAUCGUACACUUUCGAGAUAUAAAAUCGAUAACAGAUAGUCUCCAUUUCUUUGUUGGAAUCCCAAAGGUUCUCCUUCCUCCUUAUUCUAAGGGUAACUCUUUCGAAGUAUAGCUCUCGAAAAUGAAUCUUUUGCUAAAACAUUAAACAAACUCUAUGCCUAUAUUCUACGAAGCUAUUGUUCAUCGAGCAUAACAAUAGAUUAAUAUAUUGAACAUGCACCAAGCACCAAACUACGGCAUACCUCCUGCAGUGUCUAGCUUAACAAACUCCUGGUAGCUUUCGACUAUUUUAAGUAGUUUUUCUUAGCUUAGAUCGAAAAUAAUAGCUACCUUAUUGUGGCCUAUUUGCUUUAGACAUGUUCUAUUCCAAUAACUUAUUGGUAUGUGCUUGUUAGAAUUUGGGUGUGACUCGAAUUCUUUGUUGAAAAUAAUUGAUAGUUCUAAUUAAAGUACACAUUAAGAGAAAUUCUAUUAGAAUGCUUUUGGAAUUAUAUUCGAAGUCUAUUGGAUAAAUUCUAGUUGAAGUUCUAUUCGAAAACCUAUUAGGAGUUGGAAUUUGUGUUUGGACAUAAAAGAGGUCAAGAUAAGAAAACUUUUGGGCGUUCUAUUUUAUCUACAACUUUAUUUUUAGAGCUUGAAUUGUUCCCUAUAUAUAUUUAGCUUUUCUCUACAAUUUAGUUGGAUUGUUUAACCUCAUUAAAAGUUAGACAAAUUAUAAAUACAAAAAAAUUGUAUUCUUUCUUUAUAUUAUAAUAAAAUAUCUAUCUUCUGCAAAUUUUUUUCUUCCUGUUUUCUUGUGAUAUUUACUUCAUAUAAUUGUCUUAAUCUCUUAUCUUUUCAUAACAAAUUGGUAUUGAAACUGUUUUGUUUUCAAUAAAGUGGUUUCAAAUUUAGUCCGAUUCAUAACAAGUGGUAUCAGAGAUUAUAGUUUUGAAAUUAUUGGGAAGAUCGAGAUUUUGAUCAAGUUCAUAGCUCAACUUGAUUUUUUGUGAUGGUAACUAUGAAGUUUGAUGUUCCACUAUUGGAUCGCAGUACAAGAUUUUCGUUGUGAUAUAUUAGGAUGCUAGCAGUACUCACUUAUAUGGGAUUGAUUUUGUUGUGUUUUUUGCCUGCUUUAUAUUUGUUGUUUAAAGAUACGAUCUUAUAUAGUCUUGAUCUCACCAUUGAAAAGUCUAUGAUGCUCUAUUUUCAAAUGAGAAAAUAAAGCAUAUUUUUUAGGUUCAUGGAGAAGGCAUUGUUUUUUAUGGUAGUUGUGUAAGGGGUAAAUUAAGGUCUAACUUUCAAAUUUAUUGCAAGAAUUCAGGGCACUUAAUUAAGAACUACUAUAAGUUGCGUAAUAAAGAAGAUUUGGCUGUAACUUUUCAGAAGGGAAAGCAAUUAUAUAUUUUAGGUGAGACCAUUAUUGAAACUUUUCACGGUGAUGGAGAGCUUUUACUUAUGUAUGACUACAACUCUAAUUUUGACGAUGCUUGGAUUUUGGAUAUAGCUUGCACUUUUCAUGUCACCCAAUCGGGAAUUGUUUUCUAUAUAUGAAGAAAUUUCAAAAGGUGUUGUGAUAAACGGUAAUAAUACACCUUAUAAGAUAGCUGGUAUUGGCCGAGUCAAAAUAAAGAUGUUUGAUGAGACAGAACACUUCACUACAAAAAAUAAUCAAUUUCGCGACAAAUAAAUGUUGUCACAAAAGUAAUUGUUGCGGGUUUUGUCGCUCUAUAUGAGUCACGGAAUGUGUUCUACGACACCUUUUGACCGUUCAUCGCAUUAACAAAAUCACGACACUAUUUGUGUGACACAGAAAAUACGAAAUGGCGACACAAUAUUUGUAGCCAUAAUGUCGUUGCAAUGUAUAUAUGUCGCAAAAAAAAUUUAAAGGAUGGCAAUUCAGUUUGUCACAACGAAUAUUCCAAUAAAGUUUUUAUGAGAAUUAUAUUUGUUGCGAAUGUUAAGUCACCGAAUAUUUUGCAACAACUUUAGAAUUUGGACGUAGCCCGAAUUCUUUGUUAAAAAUAAUUGAGAAUUCUAAUUAAAGUGUACAUUAAGAGGAAUUCUAUUUGGAAUGCUUUUGAGAUCCUAUUCGAAGUCUAUUGGACAAAUUCUAGUUGAAAUUCUAUUUGGAAGCCUAUUGAAAAUUGGAAUUUGUGUUGGACAUAAAGAGAUCAAGAUAAGCAAAUUUUUGGGCAUUAUAUUUUAUCUAUAACUCUAAUUUUAGGACUUUGAAUUGUUCUCUAUAUACAUUUGGCUCUUCUCUACAAUUGGGUUGUUUAAUCUCAUUACAAAUUAGGCAAAUUAUAAACACAAAAUCUUUUUAUUCUUUCUCCAUAUUACAAUAAAAUCUAUAUCUUCUGCAAAUUAUUUUCCUCUUAUGUUCUUGUGAUUUUUACUUCACAUAAUUGUCUUAAUCUCUUAUCUUUUCAUAACAAAUUGAUAUCGGAACUGUUCCGUUUUCAAUAAAGUAGUUUUAAAUUUGGUCUGAUUCAUAAUAAUGCUAGUGAUUUCAAUUGUUGUUCAUGAUAACUCUUCUAAAAACACACUUCGAUUUUGGGACAUAAUAAUGAGAAAAGGCCGAUUUUGGUCCAAUUCUCGGUUCUACUAUGAGAACCGACGGUUCUCAUGAUUUAUUUAUUUUUUGAUUAAAUUAUUGUCCCUUAUGACACGGCAAUGAAACUUUCCUUCAUUUUAGAGACUCGUCAGUUUCCUUGUUCCUCUUGGAUUUUUUCUCUUUUUAAUUCUUAUAAUUGUUUGAUUGAUUGAUUAUUUUCCUGCAUUAAAUUUCCUUAUUCUAUUUGAUUGCUUUCCUUCAUCAAAUUUUCUUGUUUCUCCAAAGUCGAUCGGAUUCGGCCUUCAACAUUUGAAGAUUAUUGAAGUCUUGAAGAUAACCCGGUAAUGUACUAAUUUUGUAUUUUUUUUUUUGGCAUAAUACCUCAUUAUUUGUUGAUUUUCAACUUGUACCCUUUGUAUUUAUAUUUUUUUCGAUCUUUUAUUGGCUAGGCUGGGAGUGAAAUUGUUAAAUAAGGGUAAAUUUAAUAAAUGAUUGGCUAUGCUGGGAUUGUGAUUUUCUAGUGCGGGACGACGGGAGUGGGAGAGGGAGAACUAGAGAAGAAGGGUGAGGGGUCAUAUUGAGAAAUUCAUUUAUAAAAGUAUUUAUAAUUUUUUCCGAUCAAUUCAUGAAAUGUUUAUUGAAUAAGCAACUCAUUGAUUUGGUUGUUGGGUCUCUUCAAUAAUUCAAUUAUUGUUUUAAGUUUCUCAGGAACUUGAAAGAUCUUAAAUCUGACUGAAUUAACUUUGAUAUGAGCAGAAGAUUCAAACAUCAAUGCGGUUGGAUUGGAUGAAUGGUAUUGAUUUUAUUUAUUUGUGAAAUCAUAUAUGUAAAUUUGCAUAAUCUUUGUUGAGUUUUUCUUUUGAUGUAGGCUUAUCAGUCAUUAAUUCUAUGAAACUAAGCUCAAAUCCAGCAAAAGUUGGAUUAAUCGUUGUUUGAAGUUUAAUUGGGAUUGGGGGGGUCAACUUGCCCAUCUGGAGAGAGGGGAAAUCGAGUUGUUUUACUUUUUUUUUUUCAUUAACUAUAAUAAUCUAGUUUUAGUAAUAUAAAAAAUUGAAUUGGAGUGUACUGUUUUGUGUGUGUAAAUAAAAUGUUUAGCUAGAAUUUAAGCUUUCCUUUCAUGAAGGAAAACCACAAAACGGGAUGUCCUUGACAAGACCUUUCUUUUUAUUAGCUUCUUUUAGUGUAUCUGCGCACAUUUGUGAGUGUGAAUUAAAUAUUUGUAUACAUGAUAGUUUUCCCAUAUUCAAUCUAAUUUUCAAAAUCUAUUAUGGUUAUUGAUUUUAGUGAAUCUGUAACAUUGUUACAAUGCCAGGGUUCAUGAGUAGGCAAACACUCCACUUAAAUGGCUUUUCCUCAUUCUCAUCCACUUAUACGUUUCUCUAUUCAUUCUGUGUUAUUGUUGAUUCCAUAAGUUUAUUUCAUAUUUUCAUGUGAUUUGUAUAUUGUAGAUAAAUAUCUAGAUGACUGAAGAUAAAAAUAAUAAUAAUAAUAAUAAUAAUAAUAAUAAUAAUAAUAAUAAAAUCAAAGUAUGAGAUCAGAAGUAUGGUCACAUUUGACUAAGAUACAAAGGGGGAAAAAGGUAAAAUGUAAUUACUGUGAAAAGUCUUAUGCUUGUGAUUCCAAUAAGACUAGUACUUCUGGCUUGUGGAAACACUUUAAAAAUUGCCAAGCAAAUAAGAGUAUCAAAAUAGAUGAAAGACAAAAGGUACUAGCAAGACAAUUAAAUGACAAUGAUGGUGGUGAUGGUGGCAUUGCCAAUAUUACUGUUUUGGUGUUUAACAAAGAAGCAUGUAGGAGGGCAAUGGGGAAAAUGAUUAUUGUUGAUGAAUUGCCAUUUAGCUUCAUUGAAGGUGUCGGGUUUAGAAAAUUCAUGAGAUAUGCUUGCCCUAAGUUUGAUAUUCCAUCUUGUAGAACAGUCGCAAUGGAUAUAUUGAAACUUUAUAGUGACGAAAAGGAAAUAUUGAAAGGUAAACUUAUUUCUAAUAAGCAUAGGGUGUGCCUUACAACAGAUUGUUGGACAUCAAUACAAAAUAUUAGUUACAUGGUUAUCAUGGCCCAUUUUAUUGACAAAAAUUGGGUAAUGUAUAAGAAGAUAUUGAAUUUUUCGAUGGUUCCAAACCAUAAAGGGGAAACAAUUAGAAAACUUAUUGAAACGUGUUUGCUUGAUUGGGGAAUAGAGCAUGUGUCCACAAUUACUAUUGAUAAUGCAAGUGCAAAUGAUGGGGCUAUUGUCUAUAUAAAAAAGGUGUUAAAGAAUUGGAAGGUUGAUGGGAUGGUUUUAGGUGGUUCUUUUAUGCACGUAAGGUGUUUUGCACAUAUAGUGAAUUUAAUAGUAAAUGAUGGGUUGAAAGAGUUUAAUGUGGCAAUUGCAAGUAUUAGAAAUGCUGUGAAAUAUUUUCGAUCAUCCCCUUCGAGAUUAGCGAAAUUCAAGAUUUGCAUAGAGAGGGAGAAAAUUGAAUGCAAAAAAUUGGCUAUAUUAGAUGUACCUACUAGGUGGAAUGCGACAUACUUGAUGUUAAAUAGUGCGCUUAAAUUUGAGAAAGCAUUUGAUCGCAUGGCAGAGGAAGAUGGUUUUUAUUGCAAAUAUUUUGUUGAACGUGAGAACGGGAAAGAAAGAGAAGGUCCACCUACUACAGAAGAUUGGGAAAAAGGAAGGAAGUUUGUUAAGUUUUUGAAAACCUUUUAUGAAACCACUUUAAAAUUUAGUGCAUCUUCGAGUGUGACCUCGAAUUUAUACUUUCAGCACUUGUUGAAAAUAUUUAGUGAUAGGCAAGAUCCUAUAUUAAGUGAUAUGGCAAAAAACAUGAAGACCAAAUUUGAUAAGUAUUGGGGCAGUGUUGAGAAAAUGAACAAAAUACUGAUAGUAGCCACAGUGCUUGAUCCUCGGCAUAAGUUGGAGUUUGUGGGUUGUAUUGGCCGCUUGUAUGACAAUAUCUUGGUUGAAUCGACAAAAGAUGAAAUCAAGAAUUUAUUAUAUGAGUUGUAUAAUCAAUACAAGGGAUGACAUAAUGCAUCUAUUUAAGGAGAUGGUGGUAUUUGUGACUUCAAUGACAGUUUAGUGGAGGUAGCUACAGAUGAUGAUUGGGAUGAGUCCAACAAUUUUGAUUUUGGGUACAAAAAUUGAAAAGUAGCCACACUGAUUUGCUAGGAAAAGACGAGAUUCAGAGAUACCUAAUGGAACCCACUGAGGACUCUACUAAUCCAAAUUUUGACAUUUUGACUUGGUGGAAGUCAAAUUGUCCAAGAUAUAAAAUUUUGUUCGAGAUUGCAAGGGACGUACUUGCAAUUCCUAUUUCUACAAUUGCUUCGGAGUCAGCAUUUAGUACUGGAGGGCAUGUUCUUGAUUCAUUUAGAAGUUCUCUAACACCUAAAAUAGUUGAUGCUUUAAUUUGUACACAAAACUGGCCACAUUCUACACUUUUGGGAGACUAACUUUAUGGAGCAGGUGUUGAAGAGAUAGAGUUUCAUGAAAAAUUGAUUCCAUUGGAAACUGGUAAUUAGAAUAUCAUUUUUUCUUCAAGCUUAUUAGAUUGUAUAUUUGUUUUUAUUUAUGUUUCUUUUAAUAGAGAAUUUGAGAUUUUGUAAGUUUCAAUAUAAUGUAGAGCUAGUUAAGAAACAUACUCACAUGAAGGAUGAUUCAAUGGUUGUGGAACUUGACUGAUGAUCUAAAGGUAAGUAUGGCCACAAUCAUAUUUUAUAUGUAAUUUCCCACAUGUUUGUUAUAUUAACUUUAACUUUUGUGACAUAGAAUCAAUGCAAGAGGAUUGAUUGAUUCUUUAAAAGGAUUGAUGCAGAUAGCUUGGAGAAGACAUUGACCAAAUAGUUCUUAAGUUCAAUUUUUUUAUGAUAGAUUGUUAAUUUUUUAUUGCAAUAUGGAAUUCAGACAUUGGAAUUGUUAACUUAUUGUUCGAAAUUUAGACCCAUGUAACAUUAUUCACGAGGAAACUUGAAAUUUGAAAUCAUUUUUAGUGAAAAUUUGUUACUUCAAGGUACUUAAUAGAAAUUUCUGUUUAAUGGAAGUUUGUUUAAUCGUUAGAGUACUAUGCAGUUUAUAUAGGUUGAUGAUUGCUUGAUGAUAGUAACUUAUAUUAUUUCGAUAUUGUUUUUCAAUUUGUAUACUUAAUUUUCUUUUAAUCUUUGUAUAAUAUGUUCAGUUCUUCUAUAUUUAGUUAAAAGUAUUGCAUUGGUAACAUCUCCAGAUUUUUUUAUUAGUGAACAUUAUGUUUUGACCUUUUUAAUGCAAAGAACCAGACCGGACUGAAUCAAAAUCGGUUGGUUCAGUUCCGGUUCAGCUCCUAAGUUGGUUAUGAAACCAAUGGUUUCAUUUCUCAAAUUUUCAUUGGUAUUCGGUUCGGCCCGGUUCCAACCGGACCGCUCCCACUUUUAAUUUUAGGACUAGAAAACUUAAGAAAUAGUAGUUCAUAUCAUUGUAGGUACGAGUCUUGAACCAGAGUUUUAUGAAAAGGGAAAAACGCUUUGCAAACUGUUCGACAAAAGUUUUAUGGUCUCAUGGGAAGGCACGGCUAGUCUGGUAAUAUAGACUGGCCAUGCAUUGUCAUGCAGGGGCCACUUCAAAACCCGAAAAAAUCCAAUUUUUCACUUCUAGUUUUGUAUGAUCACUUUUCUUGAGUCAUUUGCUCGCAGUGGAAUACGGAUGUUUACAGCCUUUCAUGUUGGAUUCUGCUCAUAAAGAUGCCAAUUUUCGGUCGGAUUGAGGCUUUUCAAAUUGUACUCUACUAAGUAGAAGAGUGAAUGACAUUGAAAAUGGGGGACAAUACGUGUCACGCUCUGAUUAUAUACGCCUCGGAUACCGAAGUGAUCCGAGGCCGAGAUCAAGUGGACCCCUCGCAGCACCAAUUAUACCGACCUAAAAGCAACCCUUCUGAAACUUCUCCGAAGUGAUAUAGCGAUUCCUACUACUAGUCUGCCGAAGCAUCUCACGUCCGAGGUCGAGAUCAAGUGGACCCCGGUUAGAAGAUCAGCCGCCAAUUUGAGAUUUGUCCUACACCUAAGGCUUAAAUUGAUUUGACGUCUCCAUGAGGCUAGUUGAUGUGACUUAUCAACUUUACGUCAAUUCAACUCAGAGGAAACAAACUGUCUGCCCACUCUACAAACGCGGCUGAUUGACGCCUAUGAGCAGACGCUUCAUACCGUCAGAUAUAUACACGCGUCCCACAUCCAACAGUUCAUACCACCUAUAAAUACCCAAGGUUUGGCAAGAGGCAAAGGUAAUGAAACUCUUAAUACACAGCAUUCCAUAACAAGUUUAUAUAUUUGCCUCCCCCUUUAUUGAUCGAUUUGUAUAGUCUCUGGGUACUGUUCCGAUCACCCAAACCUGACUUGACCGUCGGAGUGUAUACGGCCGCCACCACCCCCGUUGGUUCCGGCCAUGUGCGCCUGACUAUUUGUUGAUUGUGUGUAGGGAGGAAUAUGUAGAGCAGCUUUCAAUUGGCCAUGUGGAAGGACCAAUUUUCGAGGUCAACAGAUUGGCGCCGUCUGUGGGAAGCACUCCCCAUUCGAAAUUUUGCGUUCUCCAUUGGAGAAGAUACCGGGAAACCGGCGACUAACCCUGAAAAGGGGGCAUUCUUGAAAAAGAACAAAGUCGAGUUACAAUCCAAGUUCUUACUACCCUUGAAAAAAGAGGUAGGAUGAGCUACAGCCAUGAAGACGACAAUCCCAUAAGAGAGGCCUUUGAAGAAGAGGUACUCCAUAACAAUGUUACUCAUCAGAGCCCGCAUCACCGGCAUCGCCGAGGCGGAAGAACAGCCAUACUCACUGAAGGAAUGGCUCAGAUAGCUGCGGGUAUGAGAGACAUAGCAACUCCAAAUAUGGCUAUGCAGGAACUCCUCAUGCAAGCUCAGGGACGCCAGAGCUAUCAAAGGCCCCAAGGAUCUUAUCCGGUGCAGGAAAUCCCUUUAUCCCACUCUCGGGGCCACAUGAGUCGGCACACAGAAUGCCUCCUCGACAGAGAGAUGAACGCUGAAGCAACAUCUUAUGUGCAAGGGAGUCAUCCAUCAGAACCACCCUUGGGGGACAACUUUCCUCAAGAACACGACGACCAAAGGUCGGUAAGCGUCUUCGACUGGAUAGGGGAGGAUCCUAGCAAUAGGGUCCGCCCAACAAGAGGAUCAGUUCGUCCAGAUUGCGAACAAGAGCAUGUUCUCCCUCCUCCUCCUAGAAAUAGGAGGGAGAGGAGAAACCUAGUCGAUUGGAGGAGUCGAGGAGAAGCACCUCCACUGCCCCAGGACAUCCAAGAUGAUGAAGGGUCAGAGGGGCCCUAUCGAUCUUAUGAGAUUGACGACGAUGACGAUAACCUCCCUUUCUCAAGGGAGAUUCGAAGCUUCCCAAUGCCAGCUAACUUCAUGCCCCCUAAGAUUCCCAAGUAUGAGGGAAAGAGGGAUCUGGAGAAGCACCUCACAAAGUAUAUGACACAAAUGAGCCUUAGAGGAGCCUUGCCUGCUCUAAAAUGCAGAGCCUUCCAUUUAACACUAGGUGGAGCCGCCGAGGUAUGGUACAGCAGGCUUCCUCCCCUAAGCAUCCGAAGUUGGCCAGACUUGAAGAAAGCAUUUUUAAACCAGUAACUCUCACGCAGGGAAGGAGAGGCGCCAAUUCAACGCCUGCAAGACAUGAGGCAGGCCCCUGGAGAGACGCUAAAAAACUAUCUCGCCAGGUUUACAGACGAAAUUACUUACUACGAACAGGUCACUGACAGGGAAGCCCUUUCAGCCCUGAAAGGUAGGCUCAACAUGAACACUUUGUUUUGGAGGGACGUGCGCAGCAAGAAUCCCUCCACAUACGACAAGCUGGUGGAAAUGAUGAGAGUGGAAAUUGUUAGUGAAGAAAUAAUUGAUCAUCGCAACCGUGCCACGCAGGGGCUCCCUCCUCCUCAGAGGCAGGUAGGUAGAGGCCCCACAACACCUUGUUACUCAGCAAUGGACCCAAGCAGGGCAUAUCAUAGCUCCCACAUCUGGACAGGCCCUAGCUUCCGCCACAUUGAAUGCAGUGCCGGUGUUGGCAUUUGAUAAUGCCCCUACUGAGGCGGGACCAUCUGGAAGAACCGAUAACAAUAAGAAGAAGAAAAAGAGGCCAAACAGACCCUUGGCAAGAGCAAGGUUUUUUACAUUCCAUCAACUAUACGGACAUGACACCAGCGAGUGUCGUGAUGCCAAUCGGCGCCCUGAUCGAAGCAACCCUCACACUUCCAGCAGAAAUGAACACCCUCGCAGAUUCACCUCCCCGAGGAGGAGAGAGAGAGGUCACCAGGAAUAAUCUCCUCGUAGAAGAGAAUCGAGGAACCGAGGCCAAUCCAGGCAGGGGAACCAAGCCCAAUUUUCGGGAGGCCAGGUCAUCAGGAAAAUUGAUACCAUCAUUGGGGCACCCCACCUCGGUGGCAACACAAGGAAUGCCCAGAGAAAUUACACAAGAGAAGCUAAGGAUCCCCCGAUGAUCACUUACAUUGUUGACGAAUAGAAAUCAGCAAACAAGAUGGCCCCGAUCACCUUCUACCAGGAAGACUCAGAGAGAGUUCACCACCCCCAUUGCGAUGCUUUGGUUGUAAGAGCCAUAGUAGCUAGAAACGGAUUAAAACGCAUGCUCGUUGACAAUGGCAGUUUCGUGAACAUAUUGUUCGGCUCCACUUUUGACAAAAUGCAAAUUGAACAUGGGUUGAUUCCCAUGACCGACUCACUAUUCGGAUUCACUGGGGACAGCAUCAUCCCACGAGGGCGGAUCACCCUGCCUGUGGAAAUGGGUUCAGCACCCCUAGUCGCCCAACAUUUCAUGGAAUUUCUGAUGGUAGAUCAUAGAUUGGCUUAUCAUGAAGUAUUGAGCAGACCCGCCCUGAAAGAUCUUUGGGCUGUGACGUCCAUUCACUAUUUGUGCAUGAAAUUUCCAACCGAACAUGGGAUUACAAUAGUCCGGGACGAUUAGAUGGGCUCCAGGGCAUGCUACCUAAACUCACUGUGCAAAUUCGAGCCCCGAACUGUUAAUGUAAUCCUAGCCGGGUACGUCGAGGUACCCGCUGAAGUUGGUACGGACGUGAAAAUGCUCGACGCCCCUGAAUAAGGGCAUACCUCUGAACAAGAGGAAGACGUCGACAUGGAAGAGGCCCCUGAACAAGGACACCCUCUUGAUGAGUUAGACCCCCGAAUCAUCGAUUAUGAACCAAAUGCGACCCCCAUGGAAGAAUUGGAAACUUUCCUCGUCAACCCGGAAGACCCCAAUCAAGUCUUGCGUAUAGGGAAGUCAUUAUCACCCGAAGCAAAAACUGAGAUGAUACAUUUUCUGAAAGGAAACCUGGAUGUCUUCGCAUGGAAACAUGAAGAUAUGGUGGGAAUAGAUCCUAGGAUUAGUUGCCAUCACCUUAACAUCAACCCCUCCUAUGCUCUCCAUAGACAGAAGAGGCGCACCCUGAACCCGGAACGGUACGAGGCACUGAAAGACGAAGUAAGCAAACUUAGCUACAGUGGUUUCAUCAGAGAGGCCAUAUAUCCGAGGUGGAUAUCCAACCCGAUUCUGGUGAAAAAGUCCAGCGGGAAGUGGAGGGUAUGUGUGGACUUCACAAACCUAAAUAAGGCGUGCCCCAAAGACAGCUUCCCACUUUCGAGAAUUGAUCAAUUUGUGGACUCUACUGCUGGGCAUGAACUACUGAGUUUAAUGGAUGCAUACUCAGGGUACAACGAGAUACCCAUGUUCCGACCUGAUGAGGAAGCUACAUCAUUCAUUACGAACAGGGGCUUGUUUGCUACAAUGUUAUGCUCUUCGGAUUGAAAAAUGCCGGGGCCACAUACCAGAGGUUAGUCAACAUGAUGUUUGCCGAACUCAUUGGCAAAACCAUGGAAGUUUACGUAGACGACAUGUUGGUCAAAAGCCUCCAGGCAACCGAACAAGUGAGUCACAUUGACCAAACCUUCCAGAUACUCAGAAAGUAUAAUAUGAAAUUGAAUCCCCUCAAGUGAACUUUUGGAGUGGCAUUAGGUCAGUUCCUGGGAUAUAUCGUAAAUCAAAGAGGAAUUAAGGUAAAUCCGGUAAAGGUAACGGCCUUACUAGAAAUGAGGUCACCUCAGAAACCGAAGGAGGUCCAAAGUCUCAAUGGUCGGAUAGCCGCACUCAGCCGCUUCAUCUCCAGAGCCAUUGAUAAAAGCUUCCCUUUCUUCAAUGUAUUGAAGCAGGGAAAGAAAUUCUAAUGGACUUCAGAGUGUGAAGAAGCCUUCGAAGCUCUGAAGAAGCACCUCGGGGAAGCAUCCCUCUUGUCGAAACCUCAACCGAAUGAAUCUCUAUUACUGUAUCUAGCAAUUUCGGACGUGGCAGUCAGUGCAGUCCUAAUCAGGGAAGAAAAUAAGCGUCAAUUACCAGUGUACUACAUCAGCAAAGCACUUCUCCCAGCUGAAACACGCUACCCAGACAUGGAAAAAUUGGCACUUGCACUUAUCACAACCUCAAAAAAGUUGAGGCCAUAUUUCCAAGCCCACUCAAUACAAGUUCUCACCAAUUUUCCUUUAAAGCAGGUAAUGCAGAAAACAGAAGCGUCGGGACGCCUGCUGAAAUGGGCCAUCGAGCUCAGCGAGUUCGAUCUAACGUUCCGACCUAGACACGCCAUCAAGGGCCAGGCUCUUGCUGAUUUUAUGGUUGAGUUUACCAAAGCCCCAAAAAUGGAGGCUAUAAUGGAACCAGCCAAGCCCCCCACAUGGAAAUUAUUCGUAGAUGGGUCCUCAGGAGAGGCUGGCACAGGGGCAGGGAUCGUGUUGGAGAGCCUGGAAGGCCAUAAGCUAAAUUGUACGGUAAGGUUCGGCUUCAAAGCCUCGAGCAACGCAGCCGAAUACGAGGCCCUUCUGGCAGGUCUAAGGCUCGCUAAGGAAAUGUGGCUCAGGAAGCUCCUAGCAAGCAGUGACUCUCAGCUCGUAGUAAAUCAGGUAAACGGGAAUUUCACAGCCAAAGAUGGUAACAUGCUUGCGUACUUGAAGUUGGUUCUGAACAUAAUUCCCCAUUUUGAAAGGUUCGAACUGACUCAAGUCCCCCGUCUAGAAAAUGCACAUGCAGAUGCCCUCUCAAAAUUAGCCAGCAGCAUGGACUCAGAGCUGCUAAACAUCGUCCCCAUUGAGCACUUAUCAAAGCUUUCCACCUCCGAAGGCGAAGAGGUACUGUGGAUAGAAGGCACCUCAUUAUGGAUGCAGCCCAUAAUCACGUACCUGAAGGAACAAACACUGCCUGCUUCCAGAGGCGAAGUGAGGAAACUAAGGAGAAGGGCUGCACACUUCGUCCUGCAAGAAGACACCCUUUACAAGAGAGGCUUCGCUUCGUCCCUUCUUCGAUGUGUAGGCGACGAAGAGGCCACAUACAUACUCAAAGAAAUACAUGAAGGAAUCUGUGAAAAUCACUCCGGAGGAAUGGCUUUGGCACACAAGUUUCUCCGUCAAGGCUACUUUUGGCCGACUCUGAAAAUGGAUGCUUGCCAAUUUGUCCAGAAAUGUGACAAGUGACAGCACUUCUCGAACGUACAAAGACAGCGUGCUCAGAGCCUCUCUGUAGUAUCAUUCGCCAAGUGGGGCAUCAACUUCAUUGGUCCACUCCCAAAACGGAGAGGAAGCGCAACUUUCGCCAUUGACUACUUCACUAAGUGGGUCGAGGCAGAACCCCUUGCCCGAAUUACCGAGGCUAAUACUACCAAGUUCGUUUGGAAAAACAUCAUUUGUAGAUUCGGCAUCCCCCACUCCAUAGUCUCUGAUAAUGGGCGGCAGUUCGACAAUAGGAAGAUGCGAGACUUAUGCGACGAAUUGGGCAUAAAGAAGGACUUCUCGACACCUCAUCACCUCCAGGCGAAUGGGCAAGUUGAAGCAGUGAACAAGACUAUCAAGCACACCCUGAAAAGGAAACUGGAUACCUCAAAAGGGGACUGGGUUGACGAACUCCCCCACGUCCUCUGGGCUGUCAGGACGACUUGCCGGACUGCAACUGGUGAAACCCCAUUUUCCAUGACCUACGGAGCCGAGGCAAUGAGUCCGAUCGAAAUUGGGGUCCCAUCACAUCGACGGAUACAUUUCAAUGAGAUCAACAAUGACGAGGCCCGAAUAAACGAACUACACCUUCUUGAGAAAAAGAGAGAUACCUCUCAAAUGACCCUGGCAAAAUAUCAUCGAAAGAUGACCCGCUUUUACAACUCCAAGGUCAGAAACAGAACUCUCCGCUUGGGCGACCUCAUCCUCAGAAGAGUUUUUCAAUCUUCAAAACCAACCGGGUCAGGAGUUUUCGGCCCGAACUGGGAAAGCCCUUACUGCAUCCGAUGGGAAUCCCAACCUGGUACCUUCGAAAUCAAAGAUAUGUCAGGAAAGCCGCUGCCUCAUAAGUGGAACAUCGAACACUUGAGGAAGUACUACCAGUGAUGAGAUGCGUUCCGAUCCGAUCUCAAUAUAUUGUAGCGAAUCAAUUGUCCCGAUCUGAUCUCAGUUGUAAAAUUCCCUAAGUGAUGGAAUCGCCUUUGUAAAGGGUGGUGUAAUUUAUCUUAGUAAUGAAUUUUCAGUUCCAAACCACAUCAGUUAGUGAAUAGUUUCCUCAGUACUUCAGACGGUUCAUUUAAGGGAUCCGAUCGUCAAUUAUUAGCUGAUUAACAUCAAGCAGCUCUUCAUGUUUCCCUAAUUGGUCUGAUCUCGGAUUAUUAAUAAGUUGGCAUUAAGAAUCGCUUCAUACUCGUUUAAGUGUUUAAACUUAUGUUAACUUAAGCGGUCCGGUCCACAGUUAUUAAUUGGUCAUUGUCACAAGGCAAUUAGUCUAACGUCUGUCGUUCAUACAAGUGUAACCAAAGAAAAUACAAAGAAGCAGAAGCCCAAAUACAUAACAAAAAUUUCUCAUUUCAUUUCAUAAAUUUAAGUACAUUGGGGGCCAAAGCCAUUACAAAAUAACCCUAGUAUGUUGGAGGGACUUCAGCACUGGCCUCCUCCUGGGCCUCCAGAGCCUCCUCGACAACCUUAUCAGGCCGACCUCCAGUUGGCCCCCCAAACUCUGCCUCUAAUGGAGAGAUGUCCAGAGUGGAAUGCACCUCCUUCAGUUGACCCAGUAAGCUUUGGGCACUCCAUGAGGCCUAGAAGUUGGCGAAGUCGUCAUACAGGGGAUGGUCUUCGAAGUGGUCAAUAAAGUUCUGGACUGCCACCUCCCCCGCAGACUUCAAUUCCUCCUUCAAAGAGGCAAUCUCCUCUGACUGGGCCUCUGUCUGCUGCCUCAGCUCUGCCUUUUCGCUAUUGGAGGCCUCCAGAGCAUCGGUGGCGAGCUUGUGGUGCUCAUUGGCGUGAUUAAGUCGUCGAGUCAUAGCAGCCACUUGGCAUUCCACCUCAUAGAGCUCUUUCUUCAGCCGAUCCACAUCUGCUUGCGCAACAGUAAGCUGGGCCUCAGCAGCUUUCUUCCCCUCCUCUGCCUUUGUGGCUUUGGCCUGGGCCACCCGCACAGCAUCCCCAUAAUGCAUCGCCUCCUCGAGGCGCUUCGCGAGGUCCUCCUUCUUAGAGUUCAGAUCCUUCACCAAGCUCUCGAGCUGGAUGCUUGUGCUUAGGGCCCGAGCCACACAGGCACUGUUCGCAGCCACCAGAUCUUCAGCCGUGCAGGAGGCGGUGUGGUCCCUCCACUCUUCUGUCCAAUAUUUAUUGUGGACCACCGCCACCGCAGCUGUUUCGGGAAGAAGAGCCUCCAACACCUCCCUUACGAGCUCCUCAGGAUUGGUGCCCAGGAAAUCAACCUCCUUAGAGGGACGGGGCCUUUUUCUCCUCGCUGCCCCGGAGUUUGAUCAAUGGGCACUGCAGCAAGGGGUGCUGUGUCCGGGGCAGCGACAGGCUCAGUCGGAGCGGGGCUUCUCUCCGGGAGGGCCACCCCGUGGGAAUGGUGGUCUGCCUCAAAACUGGGGGUGGUCUCGCCAUAGUUGGGCGUCUGGGAGGGGCGGCACUCUUCUUGCCCUUCCUUCAGAGGUCAGCCUCCGGGUCCUCCUGAACUUCCUCCUCCGUUGGAGGCUGGAGCCUCUUACUGGCCUCCACCAACUCCUCCAUUUGCCUUUUAUACGAGGAGGAGGAGGCCUUCAGUGUCCGUGCCUCAGCCAUCAUUUUCUGGAUGGUCUUGAAGUCGGGGCGCACUGGCAGCUUCUUGUUAAAGUUAUCUGCAAAGAAACAAAUAAGGAAUUAGUACAAGUCUAGGGAGUUCGGAAUAAAAAGUAAGGACUUCGGUCCUAUUACCUUGAGACGCCAUUAAAUCGUGAGUAAUAAAAUGGAUGUUCUUCCGAAUCAGCCUGUGGUAGGACCUCUUCUUCUGAGGCAGCUGAUAAAUGACACAAAUGGUGUCGAAGUCCUCCGUUGAUAGCUCACACCGAGGAAGAGAACCUACAAAGGAAACAUAACUGUUAGACACAAGUCGAACCGAAGAGAAAUAAAAGAAGCAACUACUAUACUCACUAAGUGUUGAAAACUUCGUUGGAACUGUAAGAGGCGCUAGGGGGUCCCCCUCCAUCGUGUCCCAUCGCCCUGCUGCCCAACACCAUGAGCUCUUCCAUUCUUUGAUGGAGCUCGGCAGAUCGACCACGAAUGGAGUGUGGGAACCCCAUAACGUAAGGUAGUACCAACCCCGGGUCUUAUCCCCCCCGACAGUAACCUUGGGAAUAUAGAGGGUCUGAAAAAUGGAAAGGGACAUCUCCACCCCUAAUGACGCCUCUUUCCACAACAUUCAGGAGCCCACCAUCUAGCUCCAGGAGUUCGGAUUGAGCUGCGUCGGGGCUAGCCCAUAGGACCUAAGCACCAACCUAAAGAAUUGGUGGAUAGGCAGCCUAAGUCCUGCCCUAAGGAUCGCCUCACUAAUGGCCACACAGCUCGGCCUUGGGUAACAGGCUCUCUCUUCCGGCCUGGGGAGGAUUAAGUCUACGCUGUCAGGGAUCCUAUACUCUAUCCUAAGUCUACCCAGGUCGGCCUCCCUUAAUUUUGAUGGGUAGUCCGAUGCCCCCCAAUGCACAGAGGUAUCUGGUGGGCUAUCUGGUCGUUUCCAUAUGUUCUUCCCCCUCCCCUAUUAUUGCCCCAGCUAUUUUUGAGGAGGUCGCCACAAUGGGCUCGUCCACCCUCACUAUUUCUAAACCCCUCCCUGCACCAGAACUCCCAUCCGAGGCCAUUUUUUAAAAAUUUAAAAGCCUAAAUAGGUGCUGAAACUUACGGGUUUGGAGGUUUUCCUAGCCGAAUAUGGUGUAAGGUCGCCGGAAGCCUAGUUUUUCUCGCCGAAAGUCUAGUUUUUUCUCGCCGAAAUUGCUUGCAAAACGCCGAAAAUCGCCAAAAAUUUGAGAGCAAAGUAUAAUCUUAGUUUUGCAAGGGUAAAAAGUCUGAGAAAACCCCAGAGUCCUCCUUUUAUAGAAAAAACAUGUCCGAUCUCCACCAUUGAAUUCAAAUGCGAUCAAUCUAAGCCGUUCGUCGCAUCCUCAAUCUAGGCCAUUGAAAUGAAACGCCAGAUUUGAUCUACGCCCAAGAUGUCGCUGUGACUUUCACGCUAACUUGAAACGCGUCACCUCGGUUACAACCAGCCGUCAAUAAUAAUUAGUAGCCGCAGCAGCCUUUUAGGAGAAUGGGCAUGGCACCCAACUGUCACCUUGAAAACGCGCAACAGUUGUCAAAUCAUUUGACGUUUGGGUCGCCUCGGAUUGAGCUCCUGCUCCAACUUUACAAAGCUUGGACGCACCUGAUGCGAAGGUCCUAUUGGGUCAUCGCCUCGAACGCUGUGUUUCCUCCCAUGUUUCACAAAGUUUCAGCCAUCUUCCCACGCGUCGACCUUUCGGGUCAGCGCACCGGUGACAGAUGAGCUCCUCCUCCAACUUUACAAAGUUUAGACGCACCUGACGCGAAGACCCUUUUGGGACAUCGCCUCGGACGCUGCGUUCCCUCCCAUGCGUUACAAAGUUUCAGCCCUCCCAACGCGUCGGUCUGUGGGGUCAGCGCACCAUAUUCACGAAGCUUCGGUGCACCUUACGCGACGUCCCAUGCUGCUUGACCACCUCGAACGUUACGCACAAUAACGAAGCUUUGACACAUCUGCCUAUUAUCAUGACCUCGAUUACUGCGACGGAUCAACCCCCAAAACUCCCAUGACUUGCGAUCCGGUCAGGAAAGCAAGUCCACGCAUGAUAUAAAUAUUCAUCCCCGGACUUAGGGGACCACUGUCACGCUCCGAUUAUAUACGCCUCAGAUACCAAAGUGAUCCGAGGCCGAGAUCAAGUGGACCCCCCGCAGCACCAUUUAUACCGACCUGAAAACGACCCUUCCGAAACUUCUCCGAAGUGAUAUAGCGAUUCCUACUACUGGUCUGCCGAAGCAUCUCACCUCCGAGGUCGAGAUCAAGUGGACCCCGGUUAGAAGAUCCGCCGCCAAUUUGAGAUUUGUCCUAUACCUAAGGCUUAAAUUGAUUUGACGUCUCCAUGAGGCUAGUUGAUGUGACUUAUCAACUUUACGUUAAUUCAACUCAAAGGAAACAAACUGUCCGCCCACUCUACAAACGCGACUGAUUGACGCCUAUGAGCAGACGCUUUAUACCGUCAGAUGUAUACACGCGUCCCACAUCCAACGGUUCAUACCACCUAUAAAUACCCAAAGUUUGGCAAGAGGCAAAGGUAAUGAAACUUUUAAUACACAGCACUCCAUAACAAGUUUAUAUAUUCUCCUCCCCCUUUAUUGAUCGAUUUGUAUAGCCCCUGGGUACUGUUCCGAUCACCCAAACCUGACUUGACCGUCGGAGUGUAUACGGUCGCCACCACCCCCGUUGUUCCGGCCGUGUACGCCUGACUAUUUGUUGAUUGUGCGCAGGGAGGAAUACGUGGAGUAGCUUUCAGUUGGCCACGUGGAAGGACCAAUUUCUGAGGUCAACAAUACGAACAGUGAAAUUAACGAUGAGAAAAAGAGUAUUACGAUUUCUUCUCUUUUUUUUUUUUUGUUUUUCUUUUGGCGGAUUAUCAAUUUGUGCAAACAGGUCAACUUAUGGUCGGGUUUCUAGAAGAACUUGGAUAUAUAGGGAAAAUGUUUUUAAAAAAAUGUAAUAAUAAUAAAUUUUCACCUUAAAUUAUUUACAUUAUAGCGUAUUAAACAUGUAUCAAGGAAUUCAUAGCUAUUGACAUCCAAGGCUAAAGAUUUUUAGGCUUAGUAAGUUAGAAUAUAUAAAACAAUAAAAUAUUGAUCACGGUUUUAUCAGAUACUGUAUGGAUAUCCAAUACUAAAUGUCAAACAUGAUUAGUACGUACAAGGAAAAUCUUAAGUCUUCUUCUUUAUUGUUCCGAGCGAGGAUAUUUAAAACUGAAUGUUUUGGGACUUAUAUGUAACUCGUGAAAUCAAGGCGCCGGAUGCUACAUAGGGUAAAAGUGGCAAGUGGGUGUGUCUUAAAUAGGUAAGAUUGAAUGCAAGUCUUUUUCUGGGUCAAAUUUGAAGAUUAAGUAUUUCUGUUUUAUUAUCAAUAUGAGUAACUUUGCUGUUUAAAACAUAAACUUGAGAAAUUAUAGGCUUGUUGAGACUUUAGAGAUGGAGAUUGCCACUCUCAAGGCUUUAGGAUGUGUUUUCUUGUACUUUUCCAGCCUUCUCUCUUGUAUUCUUUCAGAACCGGGCUAGAUCUACAUAAAUUUUUUCACAGAAGUGCUCCACAACUCUCACAACAAGGGUGGGUGGGUGAAUUUUUUACCAAUUUGUUAUCACCACAUGUAGGCCACUAAUGUGAGUUCUCUGGCAGAGUUCUGUACAAGGGGCUUCGGCUACUCUUGCAAGUAAACUUGAGUAAAAUGUAUUCAGUUGUAGUAUAUUCUUUUCCUUAUAUUUGAAUAUUGCAACUCCACGGAGGUAAGGUUUCCAUUCCCCUCGUACUAUUUUAUCAAUAUAUUAGGGUGAAGGACAAUGCACAAAAUUGCCAUUUUUGUUAAGAUAAGUAGGGCUAAAAACCACUAUCUUAUUUGAUUGAACUUCGCCGAAAAAGAAGAAGAAUAAAGCAAGAGGCCAUGACAAUUUCCCAUACACUGCAAAGCCAAAUGUAUUCAAAAUCAUUUCAAAUUAAACGUGAAAAUAUAGAUCAUGUAUCUAUAAAAACUAAUAAGUAGUAUGUGACCAGAGAUAUUACAUUUUGUUCAUGGAAAUUGAGUAAUGACUUGAAAUACGGUAACUGUUUACUGUAAUUUACAAUAUUCUAAGAUAUAAAAGCAUAUCUAGGUAGCCUCUUUCUGCGUGUCUUUUUUAUCAUUAUUAAUAUAAUUUUCAUAUUAUAAGUAUUAAACAUUAACUUAAUAAUGACUACAUUCAUGUCUAAACUUGAAAUAAAAUCAAGUCUUGAAGCAAGGCUUCCUCUGUCCCUCUUCACCUCCAACCCUAGUCACUUGCCAAUCUCAAUCCUGUAAGAAGAGUUCAAGAAUGAAAAUAAGUACUUAGAAUUUGAUAUUAAGUGAAAACAUCUAUAAUUAUGAAUGGAAUAUUAUAGAUAAAGAGAAGUAGAUCCUUUUAUUUAGUUGCGAGUGACAUAUAAAUUACUCGAGCUUUGCAAACUAGUGUACUGGAGAAUUGGUACAUCCUAUAUGGGUUUCUCCUUACAGUUAAGAGUUCAGAACACAAAAUCCCAGCCUAAAUUCAUGAAUGUCGAUACAUUCACGGAAAAAAGUUCCCGGGCAGCAAUCUUCUAUGCUCGUUCCUAGGAAAACUCUGUAAACUUAGCCAAUAUAAGUCCGAGUGCAAGGAGUUUGUACUAUUUCUUUGUUUGGAGCUAUGUAAGAGUAAUGAUCAACAAGCUUGUGUAGGAGAUCUUACCAACGUCAUAGCUCUAAUUUGAGCUCACCGUGUAUGUAUUCAAUGCCCCAUUACUGAUAUCUUGCUAUAUUAACUGGUGUCAUUUAACCUCACAGAGUUAAAUCGUUAAAGAGGCAUCCUUCGUGAAUUUCGAGGAUGGUCAAGAUGUUAGGGUACAAUUUGCAAUCAACCCAACCAUUUAAAACAUAAAACGAACUUUCAUUGGACAAUGCCAGAAUCCACUAAAUUUCCCUGGAAGGUCAUAUAUACACAUACCUUAGGGAAGAACCACAAAAGUAAAAAAUUCAUUAGUUGAUCUAGAAUUGAAAGAUAAAAAUAACCUUUUUUUAAGACUAAGAGCUCAUUUUUAAAAUGUUAACCAUAUUAAGAACAGAAUUCAAGCCCUUAUAGGUCAGUUAAUAUUUUUGUACUUAAUUGAUAUGAAAUUUAUCCUUAACAUGUCUACUGAUGACUCGUUUGAGAAUACAAAUCUUGAAAUCUAAAUGCUUCUUUGAGGUUUAAACGGAUCAAAUUGCUUAUUUGAAUUCUAAUAUCAUAUUAAGAUUUGAAGUCCAUCUUGUUUAGAAGAAUAAAUGAAGCUGUUAAUAUUUUAUAAUUUAAACUGUGUGAGUUGCACCCCUUAGCAAUACUAUAAUAAGACUUGAUGUUCCAUCUUAAGAUAGCAAUCUUAUUAAGAGGAAUAGAUCAAGCAUAUAUAAUAAAAGUCAUAUGAAAUUUUAUUAAUAGAUUUCCUACCACAACAAUUUGUAGAAGAUACAUGUUAGGUUAGUCAAACCACUAGCAAAAUUAAAACCUAAAUAUAAUAACUGCAAACAGACACACAUGCACUGAUGGACACAGAUAAUGUCCAACAAGAACAAUGCAUAAAAAGGAGAACCAGAUACCCUCUUAGAAUAAACAAGAAAUUAAAUUGAUAAAUGAGUUCAAGCCAUUUCCACUUGGCUUCCCUAUAUUCCUAGAUUUUAAUGAAAUAAAUGUUAUCUCAAGGCAAUCUAAACAACUUGUAUAUAUAUGUUGAACAAUGAAAUUAUUAAAAUUAUAUAUUUAAGUCAUGAUUGGAUUUAUUUUUCUACCAAAAGUCUGACAAGCGAAUAAUCUAUGGCGAUGAGACCAGAACUCAAGACAUAUGUAGCACAAUAUUACGAAUAAAUUCGAGUUUAUUUUUCUUUAUUUGUCCUAUUCAUUAUUGUUGAAUUCAAGAUAGCAAACGUGUAAAAAAAGCUUGAGCUUUAUAUCGAUCUUAUUGCAUCAAAUAAUUGAGCUCUUAAUGGUAUAAAGAUGCUCUCAAGAUAUGCAAUAAUUAAACUAAUGAUUAGAAUUUGUAGGGAUAGAGUUAUAAUCUAUUUAUAUUAUAGAACUGAGCCUACUAGUGAUUGAGACUAUUGUACCAUUACAUUUUCUAAUUGAAAUCUUAAGUAUUCAUGAAGGUACAAAGUAUUGCUAUUCUAAAAUUAAAUCUCUUGGUGGAAUCUCAUCAUUAGAAGAAUCUAUACAUGACAAAUUUCUAGAUUUUGGAAAUCUCUAUCAAAUACCAUGAUUGGAGAAACAAGGAAGAAUUCCUAUCAAUGCCUUGAUUGGAGAAUAUGAUCACAAAUUUUAACUGAUUAUAGAUGGAGUAAUUAACUCAUCAAGCUCUCCAUAUAAUUAAGAAGACAAAGAACUUUGGUGGGACAAAGACACAAGAAUGUGAUUCAUUUUGUUCCUACUGAAGGGUGGAUUGGUUCAAGAAUAGAGGUUGGUUUUGGGUGGGUGGUUCAAGAGCGUGAUCAAGAUGAUGAAGGAGAUACUCAUGGUGAACAAGUUUGUCGUGCAGUUCUUCAAACAAAAUCAACGAAUCCUGACAGAGAAUGAAGCAGUACAAAGAGUUCCUUGGGCUAAUCACGUCAUCUAAAAACUCAAGUUGUUGCACAAGAAACAAAUAUUCAUCUAAUCUUGUCUUCAACAUGCCUUUCAUGUACAGGCCAGAUUCAUUGUUUGAUCAAAUUAUUGACAUAGAUACAAUUUUCGUAAAUGAAUAAUAACAAGACUUAGAAUUGGUUCUUUUACCUGAAUGUAGUAUCAUGUUAACCAUCUCAUCUAAAAACUUAAAUAUUAAAAGAAAAAUAAUUAAAUCUUGUAUUCAACACUUUGAAUGCAAGUUUGAGAUAUGAGUAUUCAUCUAGGAAUGGUCUUAAUGGAUAUCAAAAAAUCCAUCAAAGUAAAGUGAGACAAUUUGUCCUUGAGAUAGAUGACAAGAGAAAUAAGAUUUCUUUUUGCAAAGCGUCGAGCAAAACGGGACUAGCUGUUGGUUGGACCAAGCAAAUGAUACCAACCCAAUCACCAUUUUAGACGAGACAAAGAUCCCUUCAAGAUGAAUUAGUCUUGAUGGUUCCAAGCAAAAUAAGCUGGGAUCGACUACAAUUACUAUAUGAAAUCUUCUAUUUUAUCCCUUUCCUCCAUACCUAUUGAUAGGGCAUGUGAGGGAACCAACAAGUUAACACAGCAAAAUCAAUACUAUAUAGAAGAGGGACUCGAAAAUAAACACAUUAUUCUCCACCCUCCAUAUGUUCCUCUCCCAAUUCUUUUAUACUGAUAUUCUAUAUUUCAUUAUCACUUCUUUCGGCCCAAUUGAAAUCGAAUGAAUUACAUUUGUCUGUAGGUAACAAUAAAAGUUAUAUGUUUUUUUAAUGCAAGACACCACUAAAUACAGACGUCGGCGAGGACAAACAAUUUAGCCAUGAACAGAAAUCUCGCAAGUCAAAUAAUUAUAUACGUACUAGGUACAAGUUCAAGAAAUAAUUGUCUUGAAUUUGAUGAUGCGUGAUUAUUUAUUGAAGAAGAAGGCUUUUUGUAUAUAUUCUAAAUGAUUCAUAAUAUUAUUCUAUUCAUUGUGCUAAACAACUUAUACCUCAAGUUGUAUAAAAUUACACAGACAGGAUGACACACUACAAAAUCAUUCAUGGGGCACAAAAUCUUCCCGAAUCCCAAAAUAGGACAAGAUACAAGUGAAAAGGGAAACAUUCUACCAGAGACUAAAUAAAUAAAAUGAGAGCUUUUAAAAAUUUUAAAUUAACUAAAUACAUGUGAUCUAUUUCAAACUGUUUAAACUUUAAGAUGAGAUGGUUAACAUGUUAUGAAAGCGAUACACUGUAUUUAUCUUCAAGUAUUGCUACUCCCCAUUUAUGAAAACUAUGCACAGUCACACUUUUGAUCAAAAAAAUGAAUUUGAUUUAAAAUUAGAGGACGUUUAGAAAACAAAAUUUAUAUAAAUAUAGGUGAUCCGUUCUUAAAAGCUUAGGUCGUUAAUAGAAAGCUAGAGCGGGAGAGAGAACUAGCUAUAAAAACAGUCCUAAAUAAGUACUACUAAAACUAGCAGCUGGUUCUAUUAAAAUUAAUCCAUGGGAUUAGGGUUUUUGGGAUGUGGAUCUAGGGUUUCUUGGUAGUAUAUAUAUAACACAGAAUAUACGAUUGACUUUGUCAUGUGGUCCUGAUCAAGAAAAUCUAUUUUGAUGUGCCCAUCAUUUUUAAUUUUCAUUUUUCCUAUGAAAUUAACUGUUUCGUAUCCUUAAACAGUACAGAAAUUUAACAAUAAAACCCCACAAACAGGAAAACAUAAAUUCACUUACCAUUUUUCGUCUUCAGACAUCAUUAAAAUCAGCUAUCUGGAUUAUUGCUUGGAUUAAUGUUUAGCUGCUCCUCUUGUGCCUUGUGUGGAUUGAUAAUUUUCUUCUUUUUCUUCUUCUUCUUGUACGGAAUUCCUCUAGCCUUAGCUUGACACUCCUUCACUUUCCUCAGAUACAUACGGAUUGAUCCAUUCCCAAACGGGUUCGACUCAGGUGAUCCGCCGUGUUCUUCGUAAGCGGCUCUUAGCCGUCCGAUCAGUGCAUCAAGGCUACCCCAAGCUUGCUUAAGAGGACAAGUACAGGGUGCAGGAGGAUCAGGUUGUCCAAAAAACACACAACCUUGUAAAUGAACUUUAGUUUUCCCAAACUGAUCGAGGUACUGGAGAAAUUCAAGAACAUGGUUGCAAUUGCACUGUGAAACUGAAAUUGGAGGUCUUUGAUUCUUUAAGUACUGUCCAAAAGUGUUCCAAUCCCUCCUCUUUUGAGACUCAUAUCUGCUUAGAGGUGGUGCCGGUGGGGGCUGCUGCUCGCCGCUGGAUCUAAUCGAUCCUUCUGCAACGUCAUUGGACAUCAUCGUUGCAGAAGAAUUCAUGUUCAUAUGAAGUCCACCCUAAAUUUAUAGAGAAUAGAACUUCGAAAAUUCUAGACAAUUUUUGGCAAUAAAUGGGUUGAAAGAAAUGGGGAAGGAACUUGAAAGAAAAUGGAAUGGUUCAGUGGAGAAAGAUGAACAUCACAUCUUCGGUCUAUUGAGGAGACAUUUUAUGGGCCCUGGGAGGUGCGUCUGUUCCGCCUUUAUUUUUUUUCUCUCUCUAUAUCUAUCUAUAUAGAGAUAGAUCUCACAUGCACUCAUUUUAAAAUUUCUCUUUUUAAUAUACUAAUUUAGAAUUACUUUUUCAAAUUACAAUCCAUUAUUUUAAAAUGGAUCAUAAGUACAAUUAUUACUAUGGUCAUUAGCAUUAGUCAACAAUUUAUAAUUACCCGUGACUUAAGAAUAGAUGCAACUUCUCUGUUCACACAAAUUAGCAUGUUUCAAAGAGAUUCACAAAGGUUUCUUGCUUCAUGUUUAGCUAAAGUUAUAAUUUCAUUAUAAUUUUGCAAUAAAUUCAAAAAUUAAUAUUAAUCAAUACAUUCAUAACAAUUACACCCUUAUUAUCUACACAUUUAAUGAGUCACACUCCUUAUUUUCGUUAACAUACUAUUAUAAUUUCUCUUUAACAUUCAGGUUGCGUUAUAUCGAUGUACUUAGAAUUUUUUUUUUUUUUUUUUCCUGCAAAUCUGCCCAAGACAGAAAUUUAUUGGUAAAAAAGAAAAUAAAACUUUAGAAGAGACGUGUCAACCUUAAUUUCAAAAGCAUAAAAAUUUCUCGAGAACUCUUCAUUUUGUUGUCAAUAUUUCAAUGAAAAGACUGGCUGCUAUUGAAAAAUGCUAAAAGAUUUUAGUAUUGUUUAUCAUGAAAUCAUUUUUGUCAAAAUGGGUCUAGAGAAAUAGUAUCAGAAUCAACCUGAACCUACCGAAGCACUCAAAUCCGAUUUAAUUUUGACAUUCAAUGAUAUACACAUUAUUUAUAUCACAAUCACUACUCAUGAAGCAUUAUUAACCUACAUUAAUAAAAUAUUAUCCCUAAUCCACUGCUAAUUAUAUAUAUUGGUCAUUGGUGUAUCUUUCUUAAAUAUACAUAAUACGAAGUCCUAUUAUUAGUAAAUUUACAAUCAAAUUUUGUGAAUUUGUUUUUCUUUUAUUUUUCAAAUAACAAUGUCACCAUCCAGGUCGCAACAUUAGCAACAUAAAGCUUCUUUUGUCACUACUAGUACCAAACUGCAUGGGAUUCACAUUUUCGCAACUAUCUACUCUCAUUCCAUAAAGCAAUUCAAGAGGAGAACAAGGACAACAUAUUAUCACUAAAAGUUAGACUAUACGAGGCUUAGUCCGAGCUCGAUAUUAAAAGGUCGAAAGCAAAAGCGUUUAUUGCUUUGAAUGGAAAACCUAGAUGAAUGUCGGUUCCUAUCAGUCUACUAUGGUGACUCCAAUCCCAAUUAGUGACGGAGUCAGGGUUUUGGCAUAAGGAGGAAGCAAUUGUUGAAGUGGCAAAAUAUACAUAUAUUGUGUAUUUACUAAAAAUUUUAAAAAUUCUAUGUAGAUUUUAAAAAAUUCAAAAUGUUGUAGGGACAGUCGCCUCCUACGCCCCCUUUUGGCUCCAUCACUGGCCCUGGGCAUAUUUACCAGAAGAACCACGGGAUGUAGGAAAAUGUAUGAUUAUGAAAACACAGCUUGCUCAUGUAUUAUGAAUUAUUAAGGUUGUCAAAUAUAAAUGGAAAUACCAUUCCCACUUUUGUUGCAUUUCGGGAGUGGGUUAUGGUGGACUAAUGAGAAUUUAUUUUUUUCUUGUGGCAAAAGUAAUAACUUUCAACUAAUCUUGUCUUAGUAUUUAUUCUUGUGUUGCUUGCAUUGGAUCUUACCUGAAUUAAUUAAUUUUUGUUUAUAUUAAUUAAGAAAUCUUGUUCAUAUGGUCUUGAUUAGAAAAUAAAUAGCAUCCAGGUACUUACUAAAAGAAUCUACAAUAAUUGAGACAUAUUUUCCAUUUUCAAAAAUAAAAUGCAGUCUUUAGUAUUUUUUUCUUCUCUUAUCAUUUUAUGUUAUAAGUUUCAUUAAAAUUAGUUGUUUAUUAAUUUUACUACCAACUUAUCACAAAUGAUUCCUUUACAAAAUUUUAAAAAUAUUUUCGAAAACAAAAUUAUCCAGUCGAUUCAUCCCGAUGCUAUAAUUAGUACAUUGAUCCUGGAAAACAGCCCAAAAUCAAAUCAAUUUACAUGUUAAGAGGGUUUUUGACACCCAUUUUGUUGAAAAAAUGAAUUUUAAAAUAGUAUAUUGAUGGAGAAUGUAUGAAUGAAAAAUAAAGAAAAAGUUUUUUUAUUUACGUGUAAUAUUAUUUUAUUAAAAAAUGUAUGAUUAAAAUGAAGAGAGAAAAUUAUAUUUUAAUAAAAAUGGGAAUCAAACGGGUUUAAAAUUUGAAAGUUGAAACUUAGCCCAUUUUUAAGCCACAUUCUAGGGGAAAAAAUGAAUUAUUCAUGUCAAAUCAAUGGGAAUUGUGCGGUUAAAAAUAAGGAAAAAUUCUAGAUUUUCGUGUAAUAUUAUUUUAUUAAAUAUGUGGUUGAAAUGAUGUCAAAUCACUAUAGAAAAGUGUAAUCUUUUGAAAAUAAUGUAGCUAAAAAAAUCUCACAGUAAAAUGGUCUCCGGACUGACAAGUUCACCUAGAAAUUCGGUGAAACAAAACCCAUUAUAUCCCUUCAUUUUAGAGGGGGGAAAUCUUGUUUGUUUGUUAUUUAUUAUUCAAUUUUUUUAAGCAAUUAUUCUGAUAUUUUUAACAUACUUAUUAACUUAUGUCACAUCCAAGACUUGGUACGUAAAAUUUUAUAACUGAGUGUCUACGAUAAAAUUUUGUUUUCUAUGAUAUUAUAUGAAAUCAAGUUAUUUAAAAAAUUUAAAUCAUUACAUGUAAAUAACAUUUUUUCUAUAGUACGUGGCUGAAUCUAAUUCAUGAGCAAGGUUGAAAUAACUAGACUCUGAAAAAGAUGAUAAAUCAAAAAUAACGAGCAGAGAUUGUAAUUUGAGCAAUGAUUCAUAAAAAGUUGAACAUUUUGUUCUUGAGAUGGGUCCAACCAUUACCAAUUGUCUUUAUUGCAUGAUUUUGAUACUUGUGGUUUAAUAUAAAUAAAAAGGGCAAAUUACAUAUUCCUCCUCAAAAUUGCUGAAACACUUAGAGGCAUCUUUAUUUAAAAUAAAAAUUUACACAAACUUUUCUUAUUUCAAGUUUUGGAUAACGCACGUCUCCUUAGAGCACUUCUCAUUUAACAACAAUGUAUUACAUCUUUUGAACAUUCAUAAGUUCACAAAUUUAUGACAAUUUAUUAUUAUUUUGCAUUUUAGCUUCAAUAGAGAUUUGUUGAAUGAUCGAUUAAGUGGAGUUUAAAUAAAUAAUACACGGGUAGAAAUGGAAUGAAGUGGGGCCAUGGUGAUUUUUAUCAUCCCGCCACAUUAGGGAUUUUCAAGAAAUGGGCGGUGAUAAAGCGGGAGUGGGAGCGUGGCAGGAAUUAAAAUAUUCUUAUUUAUCAUUUUGCUUCAAUUAUUUUUUAACAUACUUUUAUUUUUAAAAAUAAAAUUUAAAAUAAAAAAUAUAAAAAUAAAAUAAAGUGAAAAAAAUUCAAAAAGAGUUCCAAAAAUUCGAGAUGGAGACCAUGUUUCUCACCAGCCCUACUUACCUAACAAGGUGUGGCAAAGAAUUUUGUCAUCCCUAUAUCGCCUUCUUAAAUAUUUUGUUUCUAAUGAUUGAUUUAUGAUAGGGGUGGACAUUUUAAUUGGUACUUAACCACCCAAAUUAGAACCAUUGAUUUCGGUUCCAAAAAUUACAUGAAAUCGAAGCAUUCUAUUUAUAAAAUACAUAAAAUUUAAUAGGUGGUUACGGUUAUUAAAAUAUUCGAAUCGAAACUCAAUUAGGAACCCUUUUUAAAAGAAAUUACGUUUAUAGAUUAUAGAUUGUAUAAUCUCAUUCGCUAAUAGUAUAUUCAGCAAAGAAAUUAGUCUCAAUGCCAUUGGUUUCCAUUGUUAAUGUGCAACAGAACUUGCUAAAGGAGAUUUAGGGAAGUUGGAAAUGAAACUUUUAGAAAACAAUGCCAUGUUAGAACCAGUCUCAAACCUAAACCUAAACUGAACUGGUGGUUUCAGUUUCCUUUUAGUUUAAGAAAUUAAAUGGAAUCUAACACUUCUAUUUACAAGAUAUCUGAAGUUUAAUGUGCGAUUUUGAUUCUUGAAAAAAAAUCGAACCAACCCAUCUGACGCCCUCCACUAAUUUAUAGCCAAAAUAAAAUGUCUAUUUUUUGUCAGGUUACAAUUCAGUCUUGUGAUUGGAGAACAUGAACUAAACUGUGGUUAUUACUUUGUCAUUCAUAAAUGUAUCUUAAACAUUUCAAACCACCAUUUUGAAGUGUUCAUUGCCUAAUAUUUCACAUCAUUAACAACGUGCAAAACGAUCAAUCAUAGCAAAUAUUACGGCUCGCCAAAGUAGGUCGUUUCAAACUAGUAUUUUGAUAAAUUCAACAGCAUGUUAAUUUUAAAACUUCUCCGACAAUCGUACGCUAGUCGAAUCUACAAAUCGCCUAUGUCGUCUCUACAAAUCGCCUAUGUCGUCUCGAAACUAAUUUCGAAAACUAUAUCAUAGACGUAUCAAAUGGUCCAAAUGGACAACGAAGAUAAUUAAAAGUACAUCAAACAUACAUCUUAAAAAGAAACAUAUGACUCAUCUUUUAUUUAAAUUUUUUUAGUUAUUUCAUUAAUAUUUAUUAUUUUUGCUCGACAAUUUUUCAAUAUAAUUUAUAUCAUUUUAUUAGAAAAUUUUACAUGGGAUAUGAUGUAAAAAAAAAUAAUAAAUAAAAAUAAAUCGAAAUUUGGGUAUGAGCUUUUCAAAUGUAAAUUUUCGAAUAAAAAAUUUCUCACAACCUUUUUGCAAGUUUAAUUGUAUCGCUCUAACUCAAAAUGUCUGCAGAUGUCACUAGACAUUAUCACCAUUAUUAUACUAACAUGUGAAAAAAAUAAAAUAAAUAAAGGAUUGUCAAGGACGGUAUGCUUUAUUUUGGUAAGCAUUUAUUGGAAUUACUAUUUUGAGGAAAUGUGAACGAAUAAUGAUAUUCAGUGUUAAAUUAUUCUGAUGUAAUUUUUUCUUUUAUUGUUCGAUUCACUGCUACAUGAAAAUUCUCAAGAACUGUCGUCCUAUAUUAUAAACUACCUUACAUUUGUCUGUGCUUCUGAAAAACCAAUGUCAAUGUUUCACAAAAAUUGAUAAAAAAUAAUCUAAACUGACUUCUUCUUCUUUUUUUUCAAAACAAUUUUAUAGGUAAUAAAUUAAUAGUUGAACAAAUAUACGUAGAAUGAAACUCGCAUGGUAAACGAAGUAAAAAUAAAUAAUAUAAUAUUUAAAAAUAAUAAUAAUUGCACGAGUUCUAAACCCAGUACUUUAUGAGGUUAAAAUAAUCUAUCUACUAUGCUUUUUUCCUAUCCAAAAAUAUAUUUUUGGGAACAAGAUUCCAUUUAUGAAAAAUAUUAUAUGGCCGCAAAGGUUUGAACAUGUUUAGACUUUAGACAAUGAUUCCAAAACCAAGCACUAUAAAAACUAUUAAUAUUCCUCUUGCUGGAUAUAUUUCAAGUUUUGUUUCGAAAAAUAUAAGGGUGCAGUUGGUUUGCGUUUGCGUUUGCGUUUUCUGUUUUGAGGGACUUUUUUUUAAUUAUAGAAAACGUGUGUUAAUUUGUCAUUUUGAAAAACGGUUUCUCAAAACAAAAAACUAGAAAAUGCAUUUGGUUUAAAAUUUUUAGAAAUUGUUUUAUGACGUUUAUUCGAUAAAUUUGAUUAUUUAGUAAAACAUAAUAAUUUUAAGCUAAUGAGUUACCAGAUAAUAUCUAUUUUAAACUUGGUAAAUUUACUAUUUUUUCUUGCUAAAAAAAUAAAAUAAUAAAUAAUAAAUGUUAAGAAAUUGUUUUAUGAUAUUUAUUCAAUUAAUUUGAUUAUUUAGUAAAACAUAAUAAUUUUAAGCUAAUAUAUUAUCAAAUAAUAUAUAUUUUAAAUUGAUGAAUUUACUAUUUUAAAAGUAUUGUUGAGCAUCCCUUAAAAAAAAAUAUCGAAAACAACGUGUUUUGAGCAUUUUUCGCGUUUUUGGUUUUUUAACUCAAAACGCCCAAAACGGAAAAAAUAAAUAAAUAAAUAAAAUCGUUCUGCAUUUUUAGUAAAAAUAAUUUCCUUUUUUUUUUCGGAAAUGCAUUUUCGGAAACGAGUGACCAAACAUGUUGUGAGCGUUUUCAAAAACUAAAAACAGAAAACGGCUGGAAAACGGCAAAGAGAACGCCCCCUAAGGUUUUUUUUCUUUUCUUUUCUUUUCUUUUCGUUUAUCAUCAUCAUCAUCAUCAUUAUUAUUAUAUUUAGGCUCUAACAUUUUCAUUUUUCGAGCACUCAAAAGAUAUAAUAAAUGUGUAAAAAUCUCAGGUAAAUUAAUACAUCCUGAUAAUAGUUUAUAUUUUGUGAUUCAAAACUUUUGACAAGACCCCUCUUUACAUCUCUCCUUACUCAUGUUAGUGUUACAUAGUCCAGAUUCGACAAAGUACCAUAUUGAAAUUUGAAGGAACUAAAGAAUAAUGCCCAAUUUCUUCUGAAUUUGGAAGAAAUCAAACACUAUUCAUAAUUUUGUGACAAAUUAGACGUGUCAGUUGGACAAUUUUUUUAAAACUUGGUUUUAUGAUUCCAAUUUUAAUAUGAUUAAUUAUGUAAUAGACGAAAAAAUUAAAACAUCGUACAUAUUUAUGUAUAAUUAUUGUCCAGUAUCACGUAAGAAACUCGUUAUGUAUUUUACAGACACAUAAAAUUAAUAUAGCAAGAAAACAUGUUGAUAUCUUGGUGCGGCAUAUUAUAUGAUGGAACCAAUCACAACACAUGGGUUGUGGGACCAAGUGUUUCUGAUUAUUUUCGUCUAUGCCUUUUUCUUUUUUUUGGUGGAAAGCAAGCUGGUUCUUGAUGCCCAAAAUAGAUUUUGGACGAGAAUAGAAUACAGGUAGGAAUGAAAAGAAAUCAACAGGUAUUUGGUAUGAUACAUGAAUAAAUAAAGGGAUGGAAUACGAUUCCCAUCUUGGAGCCAAGUUCUUGUUAGAUGUUUUAAAGUACGAGAGGAUUAACUUUUAUUACUGCAACAUGUAUUUGGUGUAGAUGAUAUGUUAAAGGCCUGUGGUCAGAAAUCUACCAACUUGACAGAAAAAUAUGAAUCAGUUUAAGGCAACCUUAGAAAUAGGUUGGACCAGAACUGUUUACUUACGCUUCUUGGUAGGAUUGGAAUGAUGGCGUAGGCAACCUUAGAAAUAGGUUGGACCAGAACUGUUUACUUACGCUUCUUGGUAGGAUUGGAAUGAUGGCGUAUAAAACAUCAUGAUGCUCUUAAUUUAUAUCUCAUCCAUGUUGAUCUUGUUCGUCUUCGGAGUCUUUUGUUGUAUAUAUGAAUUAUAUUUAUGUUGCUAUUAACAAUAAUGUAAUUAUGACAGUGUGCGAAUAUUAUAUCUACAAGUUCUAGGUGCAAAUAACAUAUAUACGUGCAAAUAGUUAGGAUGUUGAGGUCUUAAAAUUCCGAGCUUCUGAGGAUGGCCUCAAUCAAGGGCCACCAUGGCCCAAGCUCAAUAAUGACAAGGUAACUCACUACAAGCCCACAAUGAUCAUCUUAUUGGUCUCUAAUAAUUAUUUUAAAAGGUACUAAACUGUUAUUUAUAUUUUAAAUAGAUGAUCGAGGUCAAGAAAAUGCCGUAUUUUAGUAUUUUACGCAACAAAACUCCUAAAGAAAAUGUAAUCGAAAUUAUGUUAGAAUUCAAAAUAUUUUCAGAUUGGUUGUUGGGCAGUCUCUUUCAUUCAACCUUUUAGUCCUCUCUCUGCUAGCUUUGCCCCUAAAGUCAGUCCAUUGCACCCUUCUUCUUUGGGACUAAAUUCUUUACUUUAAAAAGACAAACGGUACGAUCUCUUUUUUGUUUUUUCGGCUCUCUCUUUUGGCAGAAUUAGGCGGUUAAUUAAGUCUCUCCUAAAUCAACCAAACUUUUAUGUGUGUGUCACUUUCGCUUGGAUGGAAGACUCUCACUGCCGAUAGAUGCGCCUGUUAUGGUAUUUUUGUUUAGUGGUCCUCAAUCUUAAGCUGGUUAUAGUCUGAAUAUCAUUAUCUGGAGAACAUUUGGCUAAAGAUUGAGUACGACUUGACAAAAGCUUGCGUAGAUCUGUCGAUAAUAAUGUAAUCUAUUGAAAAGCGACCAUCGACAACUUAAAAUAAGUUUUUCAAUGUGUUAUAUAUCCGUACUCUUAUUUAAUUGAAACACUAGCAAACUCCUUUUUUAUAAAUGUUUAGCUUUCAUUAAAGAAAACUUUAGAUGAAAGGAAA